RNAcentral lists this long non-coding RNA (68896 nucleotides) under Gossypium barbadense (sea-island cotton). Its description in RNAcentral is "long non-coding RNA (GBAR_LNC002751)". The stretch from base 34231 to 34353 matches the Rfam family "MIR7504 microRNA precursor family". The record is from RNAcentral. Lineage: Eukaryota; Viridiplantae; Streptophyta; Magnoliopsida; Malvales; Malvaceae.
AACAUGAAGGUUUGUAAUAAAAAUUUGUUUCUAUCAGCAUUGCUUUGCAUUGCUAUUGCAGGAGUUUUGGGUCAAGCUCCUAGUAAUCCUCCUACGUCUACGCCGGCGCCACCCACACCACCGGCUUCUACUCCUCCUCCGACGACUCAACCACCGCCUACACCAACCGCCACUCCGCCACCAGUUUCUACUCCUCUUCCCACUUCAUCACCGCCCCCAGUGACAGCUUCUCCACCCCCAGUUUCAACUCCUCCACCCAGUUCUCCUCCUCCCGCAACUCCACCACCUGCUUCUCCACCUCCUGCAACUCCACCUCCAGCUUCUCCACCUCCUGCAACUCCACCUCCAGCUUCUCCACCUCCCGCCACUCCUCCACCAGCAACCCCCCCACCUGCAACUCCUCCUGCUACCCCACCACCAGCUCCAUUGGCUUCUCCUCCAGCCACAGUCCCAGCUAUCUCUCCAGUACAAACACCAUUGACCUCGCCACCAGCUCCGCCGACCGAGGCCCCAGCACCUACCCUCGGGGCUGCUACGCCAGGUCCAGCUGGAACAGACACGGUACAUUUUCUCUUAUUCCACCAUUUUAUAUCUUUCUUCUCCACCUACGAUCAAGCUUUAUUAUCGGUUGAAAUUUAAGCCUUUACAGCAAGACUUAAAAUAUAAUUUUAUUAAUGUUUUUAUAAUAUUAAAUUAUAAUUUUAUCAUUUUUACAUAUUAAUGUAUAAUUUUAUAAUAUAAUAACUUAAGUGAUAAAAUUUUUUAUUUUCGGUACCGUGCCAACUUUCUAGCCUCGCCCUUAUCUUACAUAAACAACAAUCUGAGCUUGUCUCGAUAUUAGCUAACCCUUUAGCCAUUAGAGAUGGCAAUUGGUACCGUCCCGAUACCCUCAACAUAAUCUGAGUUAAAAGUAAAUAUUUAUCGGGGUUUUAUCUGUUUUUAACACAAUAUUUAAAAUUAUUUAUAUUUUUUUCUCAACUUAUAAAUAAAAGGAUAAUACUUCAACAUAUUUGAACCCACACUUUCUUAUAUUAACAACGGUAUCUAUGUCAAUCGAAUUUAACAAUGGUACUUAUGUUAAUUGAAUUAAGACUGAAUAUAUUAAAUUUAAUUAAAACUUAACAUUAACCACAGUAUGAUUCAACAUAUUAGCUUUAAUUAAUGUUGAUUUUGAACAUAUUAUUGCAGAGCGGAGCAAAUCAAAUGUGGACCGUACAAAAGAUGAUGGGAAGCUUAGCCAUGGGAUGGGCUCUGCUCAAUCUGAUGGUUUAAAACAACCGUGUGCCUCACAUUUGAUGCCAUAGCUCUGUAAUGUUUCAUUCAAUUGCUUAUUUCGGCCUUGUUUUUCUCGUAUUUUAUGGGCUGAUGUCUCAUAUGGGACUUUUCUACUAUACGUAUAUGAGAGCCUACAUUACUUUACCAUUAUAUUGUAUUCUUUGAGACAUUAUUAUUAUUUUUUUACCUUUUGAGGACACUCUUUUUUGUAUUUGAAGGAAUUUAUUGUUUAUUUUGUUUGGAAUAUGUUGGUUGAUUUAUUCGAUUCAUAUAUAUUAUAUAAAAGUAAUUAUGUUAUUAAGAAACGUAGUAAGAACUUACAAACAUGAGGAUCGAAUUCUGAACUUCAUACAAAUCAACUUAUAAUCCACACAAGUUUAACAUUAAAUUAGCGUGAUUGGUUAGUAAAUUCAUAUUUUUCUGUUUAAUUUUUUGAAUUCUUAUUAGCUUUUUUAAUGAACAAAAUGAAUUAGAUCAACUGAUUGAAUCAGUUGUCUAAUCAAUUGAAUUGAUUAUUUGAUGCAAACUUGUAAAAAGAUAAUAAAAAUUUUAAAAAUUAAUAAUUGAAUUGACGAUUUAACUAAAUUAAAUUAAAAAUAGAACAUAGGAGGAAGGGAAAACUGAUUUCUUAAGCAACUUAGAUUGGAAGUGUAAUUAUUAUGUGAAUUACUUAAGGUAGAAAAAGAGUGUCCAAAAUUGGAGAGCAUGCAUGUGGAAAGAAAUGAUUAAGAAUGAUAAUGACUUUAGUUGGUUAUAGUUAUAAAGACUUAUAGAUGAAGUUAAACCAUUAGGUCCACCAUUUAUGGGUUCCCUUUAUUUGCUUUGGAGUAGCUUUGAGAGUUGGGAUUCAUGGGAUGUGAGAAGUAGACUUUGAUUCAUUGGGAAGUAGCUACAUUUUCCUUAGUCCUACCAUCAAUCCCAUUAGUGAUUAACUCAUUAGUCAUGGCUAAUCCAAUAAUAAUUAAUUAAUUAAUUAAUUAAUUAAAAUUUUAGAAAUCAAUUCAACACCUAUAUCCAAAUUGAUAUACUAAUUAAUUUUUUAUCCAAGUGAUUAGUUCGAUUUGAAUAACACUAUAUAUCAUGAAUGAAUGAACGUGUGGGGAUAGUUUGUUUUGUUGUUUUGUGAGAACUCAUGCUCUUGCACUUUUAAAGGGCAAUCUCUAUUGUUAUAGGCUAAUUUUGGCCCAGUCCAUUUUAUAAAUAACCCAAUUGUUAAACAGCCCAAACCCAAUGGUCCAUUACAUACUCAAUUCACAAACCCUAAACCUAGCCCACUAGUACUAAACAUUUUCCAGCAAAAAGAAAAAGGAAGAAAUCCUAGCCAUCUAGCCACUUUCCCACUUGCCCCAUUUUCCUCCCAUUUUUUAUAUCCAUUGUCUGCCACCAUCACCUACAAAAGAAAUAGAAAAAGAAAUAAUAGAAAAUCAUGUAAAAGAUGGCUAUAAAAAACCAUUUAAAAAUCAUGUAAAGGGGGAAAAAAAGAAUUUUUGGCUAUCAAUACAAAAAUGAUUUUUUUUUUGCAUCAAUACUAGUAGGUUAAAAUACAAGAAUAAUUCCAAAAUACCAAAACAGUGCAAUAUCAUCGAAUCAGAUCAAACCCUAAGGUGAAUGUACUAUUUUUUUUAUUUUUAUUUUUUGUUCAUUUUCGAAUCUUUUUUUUCUUUCCUAUCUAAAUACAUAAAUAGAAACAAAAAUGAUAUUUUAAAACAUAAAAAAGAGAGAGGAAAAUUUACCUUUUUCGGCCACCGUGUACGGUGGCCGGCGCCGGUGACGGUGGUCCGGCGAUCGGUCGGUGACCGGCCCAUGGCCGGAAAUCUCCUUCCCCCUCCCUUCUCUCUUCCUUCUCUUUCUUUUUUUUCUUUCUCUCCUCACCAAAUGAUUUUUUUUUUUUGCAAAUUUUAGCCCUUUUAUAGCCCCCCAAAACGGCGUCGUUUUGGGGUUGGCCUUUAAACCCCAAAACGACGUCGUUUUGGCCUAACCCAUUUAUUGACUCGGCCCGCUCCAAGGAUCCGCGUGUUUUUCAUUGGAGGGGCUAAUUGCACUUUUAGCCCCUCCGCUUUUUCAUGCUUCUGCAAUCAAGUACUUUUUUCAAUUUUUUAAAUUUGGCCACAAAGUAUGUAACGCUUUGCGAUUUAGUCCCUUUUGUUGUGUUGUGUUUUGAGGGGAGGAAUAAUUCUGUUUUUAGCCCUCAUUUGUUUUGUGCGCGUCCAAUCAAGUCCUUUCUUUUUGUUUUUAUUGCGAAUUCGCCCCAAACUUUCUGGUUUAAUUUCGAUUUAAUCUUUUUUUAUGGUUUAGCUAUUUUGUCCUUAAAUUAGUUAAUUUUAUCAUUUUUGCUAUUAUUUAUACUGCUAUUUCCUAUUGUUAUUAUUGUUACUAAUAUCAAUCUAUUACUAUUAUUAAUAUUACUAUGUAGUAAUGUAUAUUUUACAUACGUAUAUGUAUAUAUAUAUUUAUAUAUGUUGUUAAUUUAUUACUUUAUUUUAAUAUCUUUAUUAUAUUUACUUUUUAUAUUUUAAUAUUAUUAUUAUCAUGAUUACUAUAUAUUAGUGUAUAUUUUUUUAUUAUAUAUUUAUAUUUAAUAUAUUUAUGUAUAUACUUAUGUAGCAUUAUUAUUAGUCCUUUUUAUCCCUAAUAUUUAUGUAUUAUGUAAAUAUUUUAAUUUUAUAUUAUGUAUAUCUAUAUAUUUUUCGUAUAUAUUAUGUAUAUAUGUUUUCAAUAUUGUAUGUUAUAUAUAUUAUUGUGUAUAUAUUUUAACAUUAUUAGUUAUACAUCUUUUAUUCUAUUUUAUAUAUAUUUCUUAUAUCAUUGUAUAUUUCUAACAUCAUUAUUAUUUAUAUAUAUAUGUAUGUAUUUAUACAGCGUAUGAAUAGUUUUUAUAUUAUUAUCAUUUCUAAUAUAUAUUAUAUGUAUUUUAUAUAUUAUGUAUAUAUUUUAAUGUUAUUAGUUACAUAUAAUUCUUAUGCUGUUCCAUGUAUAUAUUUUUGAUAUCAUCUUAUGUACAUAUAUAAAUAUUAUGUUAUAUACAUAUAUGCAAUAUGCUUUUUAAUACCAUAUUUUGUAUGUAUUAUUAUUAUAUCUAUUUUUAUCCCUAUUAUAUUUAUUGUUAAUACUAGUACAUAUAUUUUAUUAUAUGAGUAUAUAUAUACUUUUAUAUAUAGUAUUAUUUUCAUACAUUAUCAUAUUUAUUAUUAUACCUAUUAUUUUCACUAUUUUCACUUAUUAUUUUAUUUUAAUAUUAUUAUAUAUAUUCAUAUAUGUUAUGUACAUAUUUUUUUUAUAUCUAUUUUAUACAUAUGUAUAUAUUAUAUAUAUAUCUUAACAUUACUAGUUAUAUUUUCACUAUUUUAUGUAUAUACUUCAAAUACUAUAUAUAGUAUAUUUCUAACACUAUUACUAUUUAUAAAUAUAUAUAUAUUUUACGUACAUACUCUGAAUAUCUUUAUUAUGUAUAUAUUCGUUGUUUUUAUUUCACAUUGGAUAUUAUUAUUAUGUUUAAUAUAUCGCAUGCAUUGUUAUUGUUUUAAUAUUGUUUUCAUAUUUAUUAUUUGUUUCAAUGUAUUUCCAACUCGUUUAUUUUUGUCUCCCUCCUAUUUUAUAUCAUUCUGUUGUUCAUUACUUUAAAGAUUUUUAUUCAUGUUUUUACUAUUUCAAUAAAUAAGGCAAUGUUUCGCAUUUUGAAACAUCGAAGAAUUGUGCCCUAACUUACGGGGUUUCGGUUCUCUUGUUGGUUCUAAAUAGCUAAAUAUCCUUUUGAGUUUUGAAAUGCACGGAUUUCCAAUUUAAAUUAAAAGACGACCUUGUGCUCGGGAAUUCAUGGUAUUGUGUCCUAACUUACGGGAUGUGAUACUCCGAUAUCUCGAGAUAAGGAAAUCUUUAAAGAAAUCGAUUUAAGCUAAUUCAAGAAUUUUAAAAUCAGUAUUAAUAGAAAAGAUCGUAUUUCAAGUCCCUUCCCGAUUUUUAAUUUUCGACAUUAAGACACUAACUAAUUAAUUCGGUACCAAUUUUUUGGGCGUGUCGAGGGUGCUAAUCCUUCCUCGCACGUAACCGACUCCCGAACUCAUUCUCUCAAGUUUCGUAGACCAAAGGCCCUGUUUUAGUAAACUAAAAUUGAUUUAUUAAAACAAAGGUGAUCCGAUCACACCUGGUAAAAGAUUGGUGGCAACUCCCGUUUUAAUUUUCACUUUCAAACAAAGUCGAUCCCCGUUUUCAAAAGAAUGGUUUCGACAUCUAUAAACCCCAUUCGCUGUUGUGCUUUGGCCAAAUGGGUUGCUAACUAUCAUAUUAUUUUCAGUAAAAUCUAAUUGCAAGCCUUUCUCUUUUACCAUAGAAGUGCAUAUGUAGGAGUGUAUGGAACCUGGGUCACACAAGAGUCAAAUAAAGAGAAAGUACCAAUAAUAAUGUCAGGUGCAUCCUGCUCCUCUUGUGGCUCAAUACCAUAGCAUCGUGCUGGUACUAGAGUAUUUGAUUUAAUCGGAAUCUCUUUCUUAGCUCUCUGACUAUUCCCAGCAUUGCUAUUCCUAAUAAACUUUCUAUUUCUUUGAGAAGUGGGGGCAGAUCUCUCUGUUUGUGUAGGGGUACUGGCUAUCUUCUUAGCGCAAUCUUUGAAGAGGUGUUCUUUAGAGCCACAUCCAAAGCAUGCUCCUGUAACUCUCCAACACUCCCCAGAGUGGCUAUUGUUGCAGUGCUCACAAAUCAACUGAGAUGAUCUUUUCACUAACCUUGUACUGGCCACAGAUGUCACCUGCUGUACAGACCUAGCUACUCAACCCUGACUCAGCCUCUGACCAUGCCUUUGAGUGUGAAUUGGUGUAGAAUAUGAUUGACCCUGAGAAUCCCUAGCCUUUUUGGUAGCUGGAAAUGAUGCAUAACUAGUCUGUCCCUGACCUCGCUUAAUCUGGCUCCAAUUCUUUCUUUUCUACUCUUCUUGCUUAACUUGCUCUACUUUCAAAGCUCUCUCCACUAAGGUAGAAAACUCUUGAAUAUUCAAAGCGGCAAGGUGUACCUUAAUCCCAUUAUUGAGGCCACGCUCAAAUCUUGCGCACUUAUCUGCUUCUAUAGAUACCAAUUCUUUGGCAUACCAGCUGAGUCGUAUAAACUCUCUCAUACUCAGCAACAGUCAUAUCAUUCUGCUGAAGAUACAAAAACUCUGCCCUCCUCUUUUCUAAAUAGAUAGCACCAAUGUACUUUUUCUUGAAUUUAGCUAAGAAAAACUCCCAAAUCAAUAAUUCAUUAUUCGACAUUUUAAAACUAAUAAAAAAAAUUCUCACUUUACUUCAAAAACAAAAUAAAUCAUGUGACAAUAAAAUUAAUGAUGUUAAUAAAUUUUAAAAUUCAUGUGAACAUUUUAAUUAGAAUAAAAUAUGUAGCUUAAUUAAUGAUAUUGUAAAAGUUGAACUAACAAAUUAUAUAAAAAAAUAAAGUAUAAAAAUUUAAAUUUAAAUUUAAAAACUAAAAUUUAAUCAUUAUUAUACAAUCUCAAAUAUAUAAACGGAUCAUAAUUGAAGUUAAUUAUUAUUUUAAUGUAAAUAAAAUUUUAUUUUAUUUUUCUCCAUAAGCUAUUAAUCAUAACUUUUAAAUUGUCAGGAAUGAAAUGAAAUUUUAUUUUAGCCAUGGAGGCAGGCAACACUGUCAAGGAACAAGGUACAAAUGGUAUACAAAACGUUGAGGUUCAUCAGGGCUGUUGGCUAUGGGGGAACUUAGGGUGCAUGGACAAAUUACAAGAUACUUAUAGAGGAUCUUAUGAGUAAAUUAGUCUUUAUAUGUUAGAUCAAAUAAUAAAUUGAUCUUUCUGUUAAAAUUUUUAUUCAUUUUUAUUGUUAAAAACUAGUUCCUAUAUGUUAACAUGAAGUACACACGGCUAUUCCGUCAACCACAACCGAUUUUUAAUAGAAGUGGAUGAAAUUUUUAAUAAUUUACUCUUUGAUCUAACAUAUAAAGAUUAAUUUAUCCAUUUUUAAGAAUAAGAAAUAAAAUACAAUUUAAUUCAUAGUACAAAGACUUUCAUAAUACUUUUACCCUCCGCACCAUAUUAAGAUAAGGUUUAUAACAUUAAAUAUUCAUGAAACGUGGGGGAAAAUGAAACAUUAAGAGAAUAUUUACUUCAAUACAACUAUGCAAAUAAUCUUUGACCAUUCACAAAUUGAAAAAACAACGAAGUUCCAAACGCUUCAUUCAAAGAUACAAUUCAAGAAAUAUGUGACUGAUGAAAAACACUAUAUUUUGUAUUUACAUUUUACUUUCACCAGCACUAUGAAACUGCAACCAUACGCCAAUCAUUUAACACAUUUUACAGCUGGCGAGGCAAUAAAACUAGUUAAUUCCACCUCAUUUACCAUGCCUUAUAUUCAAAAAGUAUUCUCACAGAGGAUCACAAAUCCAUUAAUAUUUGGAAACCUGUGAAUGAAGAUGCUCAAAUAUGAGAUUAAUAGGCUUGAAGUAAUGUAUGAAAAAUGAUUUUUUACCUUGUAACUUCUGAGGGGUUUUACUCAAAUGCACUGGCUACCAAUAUGAACUAUUGCAAACAUGUGAUGAUUCUAUCUAUGGUUUAUCAUACAUCCGAAUCAUGAUGUCAGUGCCGCCUUUCUGCGCUUCUUCUAAGGCGGAUUGCGCUCUCUCCCCUUUCAUCCUGAGGGAAUUCCAAGGUUUCAGUGAUGGAUAAAUCACUUGGAGGGAUAAAACAAUCAGCAGAAAGGCCUGGUAUGUUAAAGGCAACCUCUUCGAUCGUCCAAGUUUCUUCCAUCUUUGUUUUCGUAUGGUUCAUUGCAACUUCUCCAAACCUGAAAAGUGUAACGACCGUAUGUCCAGAAUGUGCUAUCAUGAUACCUUCGACAGGAUGGUAAUCUUCGAGAAAUGUAUUGAUUGUAGUUUCCCAAUAAACCGUAUCACCGCCAGUAGAUUGAACGCGAGUUAAAUGUGAAUCUUCCAUUUGAACAAGUAGUCCAGUCUUCUGACUGAAGUAGCCAAAUAAAACAUGCCUAAUGAUCUCCGCAGGGCCUUCACUUCUUGCCUUGAGUGUCCGAGGAUCGGCACAUAGCUUGAGGAUGAAGCAGUCUUCACCAUUAAUAUUUUUUUCUCCUAUGCAUCUUGCAUUAGCAAACAUGAUAGCUGUAGUUCUAGGGUCAAGACCCUAAAGCAGGAAUAUCAGAAAACCGAGAAGCAGCCAACGAACAACAAUCGAAUAAAGGGAGGAAAUUUCUCACCUGAAGUGCACGACGCAAGGGUCUAACCGGCCCCUUUGCGGUGUGUGCACCAAGCCAAGGUGUAUGCCUCCAUACAAGGUUCCCAUUACAACCAGCAUGAACCUUGAAGCCACUGACCGCAAGUUCGACAUACCACAUGUCCGGAUUCAUUUGCCAGAGUACAAACCAACCGGACUCGGCACUUCUAGAGACAUUACAGCUCUUAACAAUUCUCGUGGCAAUUUCGUAUUCACAAGCUACCAUUUUGAGCUUUCCCAUUGCAUACGCAUUCUUAAUGGAGCUUUGUAACUUUUGAACCCCAGUGGCAGCUAUAUACUGCUGCAAUAUGUAGUGAGCAGAGGAAGUUUCCUGCACACCAUACCACCAUACCGCAAUCAAUGGAAAAAGAAUAGAAAAAAGAAAAAUCAAUAAUGGGAAAAAUGACAGCAUUUUAGCACUUGAAAUAAGCAAGGAAUAAACCGUAAUAAUGAUCCCUGCAGCCGUUAAAACUCUGUUUUUGCACCUGAAAUUCUAAGUUCUAACAAUAUCUUUUGUAUCCAUCUGUUUGGAACCCAAGAAAAUUGUAUAUUUCUACAUGAAUUUUUGCAUUAAACAGGUAAUUAAAAAGAGAAAGAAUAAAAGGACUAACAAUGGGAGUAUCUUUGAUGCUCAAGUGAGGCAAAGGAUCAUUGGAGCUAACAUGAACUGGAGCUAAAGGGGCGCCCAUGAUUCCAAGCAACAGCCUUAGAUUAGACCUUCUGUGAUUCGUGGAAGUACAUAACUGUCCUUUAACCCAUUGUCCUAUCACCGACCCAACCCACUUCGGAUCCCCGGAUUUCUCUCGGUCCGGCUCCGGACCUUCCAUGAGAGGAGAUAACGCUUCCCCGACCGGCCUUUCACUCCCGGAUCUCGCCCUCAACGGUUCCAGUUGCACCACGUGAGCCCCGCCAUGGUGGUUGUCUUUGUUUCCACGUAACGUAGUGGACAUGAGUGAAAGGGGUCUUGCAGGGCUGUUGGACCGCGAGCGGGAAGGUGAAAGCCCGCGAACUAUAUCUUCUUUGAGAGCCGAGAGAAAACCUUGCUUUUUCUCCAUUACUGGCCUGGUUCUUUUUCCUUUCCUUAAAAAAUUCAAAAUAAAUAAGUUUCCUUCUCUGAUUUGGAGCUGAAUAAAAAAAAAAAAAAAACAGAGACAAGAAAAAGGGCGAAAGUAUUAGAGAGGAGAAGGUGAGUGCCCAAGUUCCUUCAUGAUUAUGGAGAGAGUGAGAACCCGAGAGCAGAGAUAUAUGCAUGUAUGCAUAAUAUUUGUCUUCUUUAUUCCAAAAAUUAGUAAAUUAGGCACUAUUCACUGAAUUAGUAAAUUAAAAUUAGUAAAAAUUAGGUCUAAUUGUUUAGUUAUUUUUAUUAGUGAUACCAAUUUUUAAUGGUAAAAAUUGAUAAAAUUCUUAACAAAAAUGAUCAAUUCACUCUUUAAUCUAAUAUACCGAAAUUAAUUUUUUCUUAUUUUUAAAUAGAGAGUAAAAUACAAUUAAACACUAGUACAGCAGCCUAGAACCAACAAGUGUUGGUGCAAUGAUAAGGCAUACUGCAUUUUUAAAUAAAGAAAAUCGACAUAAUGAUAUCUCAACAAAGAGACUAAUUUAAUUAUAAUAUGAAUUAUUGAUACUAAUUUAUGUUGCACCAUUGUUGAAAAAAUGUAAUAUUAAAAUCAUAUUUAUAUAAAAACUAAUCAACAAUUGAGUUAUUGUUAAAAUAGUAAAGUAUUUAUGAUUAAAUUUUAUUUAAAUAUUUCACAUAAAAAUAAUUUUAAAAAAUCAUUAUAUUAAAUAUUUAAUUUUUUAUUAAAUAAAGACUUUUAAGUAAUUUAUUUGAUCAAAUUGGUAUACAUUACCAAAUUUCAUAUAAAUAUAUAUAAUACAAAUAAUAAUUAGAAAUGAGAAUUUAUACAGUAUUAGGUGAGCCACUUUUUUUCCUUUUACGUUUAUAGAUUUAUAUACAAUAAAUUUUAUAUGUAUUAUUUUAUUAUUAUUUUGCAAUUAUAAAAUGAAAUAAUUAGUCGAUUGAAUAUUAAUUUUAUUAAUAUAGAUAUUAUUGUCAAUAUAGAAGGACUGCGUUCAAGUGCGCUGAAACGUAUUAUCUUUUUAUCUUUAGGUUAAAAAAACUUUAAAUAAUUCUAAAUAUUAGUUUAUGUAAAAAAAAGAUAAAAUAAAAAUAGGAAAUAAUUAAAAAUAUAUGAUAUGGCAGAGAAAAAUUGAGAAAUCCAAAGCAGAGUGUGAACAAACUAUAUAGGAAUGGUAUUGAAAUCUUAGUCGUAAAAUUAAAGCAAUAUCAUGACAUUGGUUAUCUUAGAUUUGGAACUUGUUGCUCUCACCAAACAAAUCCUUUGUCCAAUCAACAAAUUUCGUGAUGUCAUGAUGUGCCAAAAUCAAACUAAGUUCCAUGUUUUUUAAGUAAAGUCUCGUUUCUAAGUUACGUGGAUACAAAAAAAGUUUACUUAAGAGAGUUUACUUUAGAUUUAAGAAUUUAAUUUUUAGAUCUAAUCGAGACUUAAUAUAAAGUUAUAGCAUCUGGGAGGUUCAUAUAUUAUAGGGAUUGGAUUAAAUUAGUCUUUCUAUUGUUAAAUGAAUUAAUUUAGUCCGUAUACUAUUAAAAAUAAUCAAAUAAGUUUAACUUGUAACAAAAUUAACAUUUACUGUAUUUUUUUUUCAAUAGCAGUUCAAUUCUAAAUUAAAAGUUUAAUUUAUUGAUUAUUAUAUUCUUUUUAAUGGCAUAAGGAUUAAAUUGAUCUAUUUAAUAGUAAAAAGACUAAUUUGAUCAAGUCCCUAUAAUAUAAGAACCUCUCAAGUUCAUUCACACUAUUGAACAGAUUCCUUCCACCAAGCAUUUGAACGUGGUCUGAAUUUUGGAAUUAUCUUUGUUAGAAGAGUUUUAUUUGAAUAUCAUAUUCGGCCUAAACAAGGUUAAGCUUAGAUUGUAAAACGAACGAAGGCACCCGUAAUUAUAAGAAAAAGAUUUCAUUGUAUAAAUAUAAUUAUAACGGCUAAAUCAAAUUAAUUCCUUUAUUAUUAAAUGGAUCAAUUUAGUCCCUAUACUAUUUAAAAGAAUCAAAUAAAUCUAAAUUACAACAGAGUUAACAUUUACCGUAUAAAAAUGUCUUGAAUUUUUUUUUCAACUAUAAUGUAAUUCCAAAACAAAAAAAUUCAUUUACAAAACUAUAAAAACUUUAAAAAAAUAUUAACUCAAUUAAAAAGUAAAUGAUAUUUUUUAAGCAAUAAAUGUUAACUUUAUUUCAAUUUAAUCUUAUUCAAUUAUUUUUAACGGUACCAAAACUAAACUGAUUCAUUUAACAAUAAAAGGACUAAUUUGAUCGCAUCUAUAUUCACCUAUAAAAAUUUAACCCUUUUCAUUAAAUUGUAUUUGUACUCUUUUCGUAAAUAUUUUGAAUGCGUAGAUGAUGAAUGUAACAUUCCAUCCUCUACUUAUCUUUAAAUUCACAACACGUUAUAAUAAACACAUCUCACCUUUCACUUUUUUUUUUUCUUAAAAUUACUUUGCAACAACUUUUUUUACUGCAAAUUAUGUCAUUGAUUAUUGUUUGCAAGUAAUCAUAUUAUCAUUAUUACUUUGCUUUGCUUAAAAAAGUAUAGGGUAAAUUUUUAAAAUAGUCACUUUUAUUUUUCUCAAGUUAUAUUUUAGUCACUUAUGUUAAUAUAUUGUAACAUUUUAGUCAUUAAGUCGUUAAUUGCUGUUAACGGUGUAAUAGCAAACUGGCAUGGCACGUUAAUUAAUCAUUUCAAACAAAAAUUUUAGGUUAAAUUAUACAAUUGGUCCCCAUUUGUUUUUCGUUUUGAGUAAUUUUUUUCUUUUAUGUUCUUUUAAUUUUUUUUUCUUUAUUUUCCAUUCUCUUAUACUUCUCCUCUAUUUUCCUUCCUUCUCCAUCAUUUUUAACAUAAAAUGAAAAAUUAAAUUGCUCAAAACAAAAAAAAUAUAGGGACUAAUUAUAUAAUUUAACCUAAAAUUUUCAUUUGAAAUGAUGAUUUAACGUGUUAUGUCAGCUUACCGUUACACCGUUAACGACAAUUAACGAUCGGUGACUAAAGUGUUACAACAUGAUAACGUAAGUGACUAAAACGUAACAUUUUGAACAUAAAUAACUAAAAGAUAAUUGAGAAAAACAAAAAUGACUGUUUUAAUAGUUUACUCAAAAAUAUAUGUUUUAUAAUUAUUUGAUGUUGUUUUUAACUCUAUCCAUAAAUUUAAAGUUUCUAACAAAUUGACAGCUAUUUUUUUAUAAAUGUAAUAAAAAAUAUUUAAUAAAAUUUUAAAUUCAGAUGCGAAUAUUUAAAAAAGAUAGUAUGAGAAUUCCGUGUGUUGGCCUGAUGGUCAAGUGUUCACCACCUUAAAUGUGAUCUAGAUUCGAGUCGCGCUAAUUACAUUAUUAUUAAGGAUUUGCUCUCCAAUUGUAAUUAAAAAUAAUUGCUAUAAAUUGUCACCUUUAUUUCCCUUAUUUAUUUUAGUAAAUCCUAGUUGUCCAUUAAUUUUUUUCUUAAUAUGGUAUGUAAUUAUUAAUAUGUAACUUCAAAAGCAUUAUUUAUUUAUAAAUGAGAUUUUAUAAUUGAACUAAUGAUUACAUACCAUGUUAAGAAAUAUAAAUAUUUUAGAAACUAAUGGGAUGAAUUUUUGUUUUUUUUGGGGGUCUGGAGCAGUUUCAAAAUUUAUGGUUAAUAUCUAUUGUUCUGUUUUUUAUGUGGAAUUGUGGGGUAUUUUGGAUGGUCUAGGUCUUUUUAUUGAGUGAGGAUAUGACAAGGUGCUUAUUCAGUCUAAUGGUCUCGAGGCAAUCAUAGCUAUCCAGGUGAAUCCUCCAAAAGGGUCCAAUUCAUUCUUAAUUAGAUUAGGAGGAUCCAUCAGAUGUUAUCCUGGUUUAGAUAGUGGAACAUUAGACAAAUUUCUAAAGAGGAUAACAAAGAAGUUAAUCGCUUGGUUAAAUUGGUCCAACAUAUAUCAUAUAAUUUACUUUUGUUUGAGACUUUUCCGUUGUAGGGGAUAGUCUAGUUUUUGUAAUUAGUUUAGUUAUGCUAUUUUUUUCACAAAAAAAAAUCAUGAUCAACAUCUAUUCUAUUAACGAGCCUAUAGAAUGCGAAUGAUUAAUUGGUGAGCACGCUCCAGUAGAUACUUUGAAAAAUAAAAAUGAUAAUAAUAUUUUUUUAAUAUUCACACAUAGCUUGAAAUUGUAAUUAUUUUAUCAAAAGUGAGGUUUUUGUAUAUUUAAUAUUAAGCACAUUAUUACCCAAAUUUAUUCAUGGAUUAUAUACACAAAUAUGAAAAAAAAUUGGGAAAUUAGGUGGAUUUAUUCACCCAAAAUAAAAAUGUUUAUAGAAGAUUGAGUUAAGCUUGGAUAUACAUAUUUUUUUAUUUGAUUCGGUUUAAAUUAAAUUUGUCGAAACAUUGCAUAACAUGAUUAAUCUAAUCGAUCGACGUAUCUUAUUAAAAGAAAAUAUAGGUGAAUAAAAUUGUAUAUGAAUCGAUUGAGUUAAAUUUGACUACAAAUAAUUUAAUUAUUUGAUUUGAUUUAAACUAAAUUUGUCAGCAUGUUAGAUGGGAUGAUUAAUCCAAUCGAACGACGUAUCUAUUAAAAUAUAGACAAAAUAGAGGGAAAAAGAAGAGAGAAUUUAGGUGCACAAAAUUAUUUUAAAUAAAAUUGUUUAUGAAUCCAUCAAUUUAAAUUCAAGUCUUGAAUAAAUUCAAAUGGAAUAUGUCGAGCUAAAUGAUUAAUCGAAUCUAUAACCGUAUCUAGUACAGAUUAACUAAUUAAUCUAAAUAAAUUGUUUAUGGAUCGAUCGAAUUAAUAACGUUUAAAUGACUUUUUAUUUAAUCUAAUUUGUUGAAUCGUAUGCCCGUGCCUAACUAAAAUGUACCAAAAAAAGUAGACAAUUUCAUCUGAAAAAAAUUAAAAUUAUUGGAUUGGAUUAUCAACCUAACUUAUAGAUAAAUCGGUUUAAUUAAAUUCGAGUCGAAUAUCUAUAUUUAUUACAUGUACUAAAUUUAAAACUAAGACAAAACAACAAGGGGCAAAGAUCAAUAUCUGAAUAAUUAAAAUUUUUAUUUAUAAUUAUUUAAGGAUUUUGUUAUCAAAACGAAGGGCAAGUUUCAAUUUUUUUUAAUGCAUGAAAAGCUUAAACAUAACAUAAAUCAAAUAAUCAAACAACACUACUUCAAGCUUUAGCAUUUUUGGUUUCCUCGCCGUCUUCGGUCUUUACUGCCACAUUUUUGGGCGCCUCAAUUGGUGUCGAAGUUGCAGGUGGAGGAGGAGUUGGGACACGAUCCACCUUGGAUGGCAGUGCUUGAGUGGAAGGUGAAGAGUUGUUAAUCUCCGUUGCGUUGUAGGAUUCGAGAGUUAAGUUGUUGUCAAAAGACAUGAAAACAAACUGUAAGAGCUUCCUUUAGUGACGAUUGCAUCUUGAAGACAUAUUAAGAGGAAAGACAAGAAGAGAAUAAAAAGCAAAGAAGAUUUUGAUAUUUUCUUGCUUACAUAACACAAAUGAAAAAUAUAGACAUCAAAAUUUUAUAUAAAAAUAAUUUAAAAAAUAUUACAUCAAAUACACUAAAAAUAUUAAAAUAAAUUUUCUCAAUAAAUGAAAAAAAUUACAACAUGAAGAUUUUAUUAAAAAAUAAGGUACAAAAAUUACCUUGUAAUGUUAUUUUUUUCGAUAUUAUUUGUUUUAGUUAUUCAAUUCUUUUUUUAAUUUUAUAUCAAGUUUCUAUUCAUCCCAUUUUAACUUGUGUUCAUAUUUUUUCUUCUUCCAUAUUUUUAAUAUAUUUAUAUUAUAUUCAUGUUUUUGUUAUAAUUAUAAUCAUAUGUUAGAAUACAUAAACUUAUAUAUAACUUUCACAUGUUAAAUAUUUAGUAUAUAUUAAACUCCGUGUGUUGGUCUCAUAGUGUUCAUCGCCUUAAGUUUGGCCUAGGUUUGAGUCGCACUUGUCGUGUUGUUGUUAGGGCUUUACCCUUCUCUUGUAAUUCACCAAAAAAAUUAUUUGUUAUAUAUUUUUUUGACACAUUGUGCAAGCAUGUCGUAUUUAUAUUAUUUCCAUAAUGUAUUUUAUUUUUUAUAUAGUUUGUCCUAGUGAUUAAAUUAAAAGAUUAAAUUAAAAAUAAGUUUUAUGUUAUAUUUGUAUUGUAUUAUAUUUGAUAUAGUUUUUCACAAUAAUUCAAUUGUUUUAAAAAUGGCUUUUGUGUUUGUCUUCUGUUUUAAGUUAUUUGUACGGUUAAAAACUGACAUACCUAAGAAAUAACUAGUUAGUGACGUGGUGUGCCUCAUAUACGUCAUACUAAUGUACGAAAACCAAUUUUUAAGAGUAAAUAUGGAUGAAAUUUUUAACAGAAUGACUGCUUUGCUUUUUGAUUUAACGUAUAAUGACUAAUUUACUUAUUUUUAAUAAACGGAGAAAAAUACAAUCUGACUCUUAUUAUUGGGGCCUCCAUAAUAAUUUUAUUGGGAAAUAUUUAUUUUAAAUUUGAUUUUUUUGGUCCGUAGAGCUUAGGAUAAAUAUGUGGCAUGAAUAAGAAACGUGAAAAUAAAUAAAAACUAUAGCACGAUAUGAAUAUAAGAAUAUAAACCAUUAAUUUACAUAAAUAAUAUAUAUACAUGCGAGUUGUAAAAUUUAAGUGUGAUGUAAUCGAGGUUAUAGAAAAAAGGGAUGAAAAUACUAUAAAAGACCUUAUACUAGGAGUUAGAUUGUAUUUUACCCUCUCAACUAAAAAAUGAACAAAUUAAUCUUUGUAUAUUAGAUCAACAAGCAAAUUGACCAUUUCUGUUAAAAAUUUCAUCUAUUUGUACUAUUAAAAUUUGACAUGACUAACGAAAUAACCAAAUAGUAAUACAUGGUGAUACGAGCCUCAAAGUCCAAUUCCUUUUUUUGUAUGUUAGAUCAACAAGCCUUUUUUUAUUUACCUCAAGGCCCAAUAACAAAGUUAAAAACAAAGUAGAUCAAGCCAAGAUUGAACGAGAUUGCCCAAGACUUUGUUACAGGGGCGAAGCUAGAAAUUUUUUUUAGGGGGCCGGAUGAAAUUUUAAUUUUUUAUAGUUUAUAUUUUUAUAAUUUGUAAAUGAUUAAAUCGAUUUUUUAUAAUUUUUUUGGGGGGGCAAAGUGAAUUUUACCUUUACUAAUUUAAAAUUUUAAAAAAAAAAUUUAAGGGCCUAAAAUACAAUUUUACAUUUUAGAGGGGGCCGGGGCCAAUGCCAGCCCCCUGGCUACGCCCCUACUUUGUUACAAAGAACUUAGAAGCGCAUACGAGAAGAAAAGAAAAUCAAGAUUCACUUUCUUGUUUUCAAGAAAAUCAGGAAAUCGAAACUUGGUCAAAUUUUACUUUUUUGGGAGAUAUCAAGAAUCAAUAAAAUCAAGAUUUCAAAUAUUGGAAUUCUUGGUCCAAGAAACUGAUUCUUGAAGCCAAUGCACGAUGGAUCACAUUGUCGAGCUUGAACGAGCCAAUUUUGGGGCGCGAACGAAUCACAAUUUCAAGUUCUUGAAAAUCAACCCAUUUGGAUGUCCACAAGCCCAAUAUGAAAUUUGGAGAAGGACUUAGUUGAAUAUUUGACCAAAUUGUCAAAGUGUCCCAAUUUGUAAAUCUUUUAAUUUUUUUGUCCAAGUUUUAUUUAAUAAGUGGAUCAAUGUGUAAAAAAUCGGCUCAAUAAGCCCAUUACGAGCCUUUACUGAAUUUCCCAUCAAUUCCACAUUUAGACAUAUUUUUCACAUGUUAGUUAGUUACUGGAUGAGUUGUCAUGAUUAGUUAGCAUUUGAGAGGUUAUUAUAUUAUUCAUUUAUCCUUUGUUUAAAUAAAUACUCUUUCAAGGAUUGUUCUUAAAUUUUUUUUAGAAGAAGUUUUACCAAUCUUGUAGAUUGUGGGAACCAAUUGGAGGGGAGAUAAAAGAAGGGGGCUGUGAUUUCUUCGAUUUCAAGACUCCUUAGGACACCUAUCAUGCCAUUUUCAUCUUCUUCUUGCUUUCUUCUUUCUUUUGUUUAGGUUUCUGAUCGAUUCUUUUUCUUCUUGUUUUCAUUUUAAUCUUUAUUUGAUUCAAUUUCAUGUCAUGAACAGCUAAAAAUGACGUUUUCUCAUCAUUAUUCAUUAAGAAACACUAAAAAAUAUGAUAUCUCUUCUUUUCUUCUUGUGUUGAUUUUUUAAUUAUAAAAUAAUUUUAUUUUGGCUUAAAAAUUAGUUCGAAUAAAUCGUUUUGAUUGUUUUGUUUUAGAUUUGUUUCGAGGCUUUCUUAAAAUUCAAGAACGAUUUCAUUUCUUCCAAUAAACCCUAUUAAACUCAUUCUCGACUCUUCUUUGGCUUCCCUUCUCUUCUUUACUCUUUGAUUUUCUCUUUUCAUUCUUUUAAAUUCAAGAACUAAUCUGAUUUUGUUUCUUUGUUCUAAUCUGAAUCGGUCACCUAUUACCUCAGCAAAAUCGGUUCAAAUAUUCUCCAAUUUUUUGGAUCUUCAUCAUUCUUUGUUGGCCGCACCUUCCUUACCUAUUUUCUGGAAUUUUCAUUCGAUUUAAUACUUUUAUUUUUUCAAAUAUGUUCUUAUUAACCUAUUUUCUCAUCUUGGCAACCUUAAUUCAAAUGGAAUUCAUUAAAAACAAGUUCUUUCAAUAACUGACUUGAUUUCAUUUGCUACCCUUGUCAUUAUCAGAUCUAGCUAACUUGAUUUUUUGUAUUUCAGGUUGUUUCAAACACUAAGUUUUGCCUCAUUCGGUUUAGAGUUUUAGGUCAAAUUUGCGAUAAUUUUCAAUCUUAUUUCGUACGUGUCCGUAUCACAUGAUGUGUUACAUGUACUUCAUGUUAAUGUACAUGAAUCGAUUUUUAAUAGUAGGAAUUCAUGAUAGUGUUUAACAAAAGAACCAGUUUACUCAUUAAUCUAAGCUAAAUAGACUAAUUUACUCAUUUUUUUGAAAUAAAUAAAAUAAAAUACAAUCAAAUUCUUAAUACAUAACUUUUACCCAAACAAAUAUUAGUUCCACACCUCUAUAAAUCAAGCCCAAACUAAAAAUACUGAGGAUGUUUUUGGAUGGGCGAUGGGAUGUGGUGCGGUGCAUUUAGCCUACUUUUUGUUUCACAUUAAAAUAUUUUUACGGUAUCUAAUUUCAUCGCUACCGUUAUUUUUAGACUAACUGUAAGUAAAUGCAUUACCCAUCCAAACUCACUCUAAAUCACUAAAGCUAAAGGUGCACAUUAUGCCACAAUGAUCAUGAGAUUUAAGCUAAUUUGUUCCAAAAUAAUUCAACUAACAAAAAAGAAAUUGUUUUAUAUAAUUUAUUUGACAGUUACACAUAAGAGUUUGUUUUAACUUUGAAAUAUACAAAAGUAUUCGGAUUUUGAGAUUUUUAAGUUAGGAGUUUUGUUUUACAUGAAAAACAUUUAAAAUGUUAUUAUAAAAUUAAUUGAAAUAUAUUCAAAUUUGAAUUAAAAUAAAUUUGAAUAAAGUUUAUAUGUUAUGAGACUUAAAUUCGAACUCAUACAUACUUAAAUAUGCAUGAUGAAAUUAUUAAAAGUAUAUUAAUUUUAUAAAGCAACGCACAUUAUUUCGAGAACUAUUUUUAUCUUUUUUUAUAAUUUAUAUAAAAUGUAAAAAAAUAUAUAUACAUAUUAAAAUUUGAACACAAGAUAUCACAAUUUUCACCAUCUCAAUUUUACCAAUUCAAUCAAUAUUAUAUUAUUUUUUUAUUAUAUUUUUUUUCACUUACAAGUGUGUCAUAAUCUAGUAUUAAUUACACAUUUAAUUUAUCAAAUAUUAUAAUUAUAUAAUUAUACUUGUAAUUAAUUUUUGUAAUAACAAAUGAUUAAAAUAUGUUAUAACUCUUUGUACUUUUUGUAAAUUUGAAAUUUGGUCCUUUUAUUUUUCUAAUUACAAGAUCCAUGACCAAUUGUAAAUACUGUUACAAUUAUCUUGUUAAUUUCAUGUUCAUUAUAAUGUCAUUUUUUCAGUUAUAAUGCUACUAAGUGAAUAUUUUUUAUUUCAAAAUGUUACACUAAUAAAUUUAACAAAAAAAUUUAACAAUGUUAAUAAUUUAAGAUAAAAUUUAAAAUAUAAAAAAUAAAAAAGAUUAAAAUUUUAAAAAUAAAAAUACAAAAAAUAUAAAUUUAACUAAAAUCUAAAAUUCUGAAGAGUAGAAGGAGGUAUAUGUUAAACAUAAACUUGUCUAUGGGUCAGGUCGGGUCUUGAAAAUUUUUUAGGUAUUUUAGGUCUAUUUGAUAGGCUCAAGUCUAGUCUAGUCCACUAGUAUUAAAUUUUUUUACAUUAUUUUUUAAUAGUUUUUUUUAAAUGCAAUACAUUACAAACACUAAAAAAAUUAAAAUAAAUGUUUCUCAAUAAAUUAAAAAAUAAAUAAAUUAAUAGUAAAAUUAACAAUAAAAUAAAAAUUAUAAAAUAUCUAAACAUUAAUAAAAUAGUAAUAAUAUUUAAAUUUAUUUUUCGAAUUUAUAUUUUUAUUUAAACGUUUUCGGGGAAAGAGGAAUUAGGGGUAAAACUCUAAAACGGAAAAACUCAUGAAAAAGUAUCUUGAAAAGCUGACAGUGGGUGGGCCCAACCCAUUCAUGCGUUACAAUCUUAGUAGUAAAUAGUAAACUGAAAAUGUUGCCAUUUUGCAUUCGAUCUUCUUCUCUUUUUUUAUUUUUACUAUAUUGCCCAUCUGAUUCUCUAUUUCUUAUCUGUGUAAAAUUAAAGCAGCCAAUUCCAAUUAUUCAACAAAUCUUUUAAAAAACUAAAAAGAAAUUCAAACAAUUUCAUCUUUCUUUCUUCUUCUUCUUUAUGAAAAUCUAAAAUUUGCAGAGCUGGAUCGUUAUGGCUAUCAAAAUCCCAGCCUUAGGGUCAAUGUAAGUAUCUGUUUUUCCUUUCUAUCAAUUUUUUUUUUCAAAAAAAAAAGUUUAAAUCUAUUUCUUAAUUCUGUAGAUUACACUUUUAUCGUCUCAGUUACUGAUUGUUCCUUUUGGUAGGUUUUUAAUUUCUUCAUCGAAACCUAAAAUUUCUUGCUGGAAAUGAUGAAAUGUGAACAUGCAUGAUGCAAACUUAGUUAUUGAUUACUUCUUUAAUUUUCUAUUUUUAAAAUAAAAUAACUGUUGCGUUCUUCGUAAUUACUUUUUAUUUUUCCAAUGAAUUUGGUUGCAGAUACAUCGAGUCAUGCAGGAGGCAUGGUGUUGCACCGAGAACUGAAUUUUUAUCUGCGCUCUUUAAGGUUUGUCCCGAUACGUACUCAGAUUUUCAUGUUCGAAAAUGUUACGAAGUUGCAUGCAUAUUUGUUUGUUUCCAGUGCCUUGGAAUAAACUUUGAAUGUUGAGAAUUUAGACAAAAUGCGCUUGGAACUUCUGAUUAUUAGUCUAGGAGUCUCAAAUUGGCUUGCCAGGCUUGUGAUUCUUCUGAUCAUACAGUCAGGCUACCAGUGUAUUUCAAUUAGAGAGCUGAAAGUUCUUUACAGCUUCGUUGUCUUGUGAGAGUGGCAUUUUAGUUAUCCUGCUGAGAGUAGCAAGAAAUAUGUUUGGCAUCAUGCUUAAUAGUUCUAAGCUCUUUUUCUCAGACCUCUUUCAGGCGGUAGUAGGUAAGGAAGGAAUAAUUUCUGUUGUUCGGUAUAGUGCAGUUGAGAUGUUCUAGGAGUUGGAUUUUGGGGCUCAGUCUUAUUACAAAGUGUUUGAUUGUACAUAGUGCACCUUAUCAUCCAUCUAAAAGCUCAGGCGUGUUGUUUAUGCUUAGUUUAUCUAUAAUCAUGCAUGAAGUGAUGCUUCUAGGUGAAUCCUAACAAUGAAGGACUUAGUGAAGUGAAAAAGUUAUUUAGCUGGUUCUAUGGCUUACAAUUGAUCCAAAGACACAGAAAUUGGUUAGUUACAACUAAACAUGGUUAGUGAUGUUGAAUGAGUAAAGAAUACUCUAGAAACCCAAAGACCUUGAAGCACAUGCCUAAAAUGUUUGAUAAGUCUCGAAUAUGAAGAAAUAUCCAAAGCUCCCUAUAACUUCAACUCAGGUUAUUAACAUCCCAGUGUUUACGUAAUAAGCAUAGAAAUGUAAAAUGAAUAAUCCAAAUAAUGUAGUUCAAAGGACUGUUUUCUUCCUCUUUAUCAAAUGUGGCAAAUAGAGAUUGAUUUCUAUGGUUAAAUAUUGAUAAACACUGACUACAUCUUCAUAUCUCCUUGGAUUCCUUGAGCUGAAGAAACAUAAUUUUCCUUUGCUUAAAUAUUGAUAAACACUGACUACAUCUUCAUAUCUCCUUGGAUUCCUUGAGCUGAAGAAACAUAAUUUUCCUUUAUUUUUCAGUGUCUGUUAUAAUUAUUUUGCUGAUGUCUGUGCAAGUUAAAUUAGAUAAAUACCUUUGUCUUGGUUGAACUUUUCAGGCUGAUGUUAAAAAAUCCCGCCAUGAGUUAUGUGUACUGGAGAUUUUAUUGGACCAUGUGAAGGAUGUUGAUUUUCAUCCACUUCUUGAAGUGACUACAAGAAUUGGUGAUUCUGAGAUUGAAGCAGUUGAUGUGCUCAAUGAAUCAUCUUGUGCAUUGAAUGGAGAAUAUGCUUUAGUUCUGAUACGAUCUAUUGAUCAGAAACUUCGGAUAGUUGAUCUCCAGGAUUUGUCAUUUGGGAAGGACUUCUUGCGGUAUAAAACAGCGUUUAUUAUGCAUUAGUUUCCUUUAGUAAAGUAUCUGAUUUUAUANNNNNNNNNNNNNNNNNNNNNNNNNNNNNNNNNNNNNNNNNNNNNNNNNNNNNNNNNNNNNNNNNNNNNNNNNNNNNNNNNNNNNNNNNNNNNNNNNNNNNNNNNNNNNNNNNNNNNNNNNNNNNNNNNNNNNNNNNNNNNNNNNNNNNNNNNNNNNNNNNNNNNNNNNNNNNNNNNNNNNNNNNNNNNNNNNNNNNNNNNNNNNNNNNNNNNNNNNNNNNNNNNNNNNNNNNNNNNNNNNNNNNNNNNNNNNNNNNNNNNNNNNNNNNNNNNNNNNNNNNNNNNNNNNNNNNNNNNNNNNNNNNNNNNNNNNNNNNNNNNNNNNNNNNNNNNNNNNNNNNNNNNNNNNNNNNNNNNNNNNNNNNNNNNNNNNNNNNNNNNNNNNNNNNNNNNNNNNNNNNNNNNNNNNNNNNNNNNNNNNNNNNNNNNNNNNNNNNNNNNNNNNNNNNNNNNNNNNNNNNNNNNNNNNNNNNNNNNNNNNNNNNNNNNNNNNNNNNNNNCAUUUCAAAAUAAAGUAUUAUCUUAGACAUGGUUACCUCUCCCGGCAUAUUUUUCAAUUCUCGGUUUUUCAAUUUCACCAUUUAGAGAACUUGCCAAGAUCCAAAGCUAUAGUAGUUCAUGUAACUUUUUUGACAGUUGAGUCAUUUAAAAAUGUUUUGGUCAUUCCUUCUUGGUUUGCUCAUCUUCUUUUGGGUAUUCACAGGAGACAUAUGUCAAUUUUCCUUCUAGUUCAAGUGAUGAUGAAGAUUGGAGUGAUACCAUUGCACCAAGAAAAAGGAAGAGAUGUGCCGCAGGAGCCUCUUCAGCACCAGAAAAUGGAAAUGCUUCUUCAAGUAGGAGUCUGUCAAUAUCCGAAGGUUCAAAGCUGAAUCCAGAGCAUAAACUAAGGAGAAGCAUGCGCCACAACUCAAAUUUUAAGGAUACAAAUUUAUCCCCUGCUGAAUUAAAGGGUGGCACUUCUGGAUCGGGUUCAAGUGAUAAAAAAGCAGGUUCAUCAACACAUAGAAGACUCGGAGAAACUGAAAAGCAGGUAUAUAGGGUGUCUUAUACGACUGAUAAAUGACUCUGAACGAAAACCAAACAUUUGUAUAAUCAAAGCUUUUUUGCUUGUGAAAAAGUAGUGAUCAACUUGAUUAAUACUUCGUAUCUUUGUCUUCUAAAAAUAUAGUGAUUUAAUUUGGGUGGAUAUUUUGGUGUGUAGAGGCUUUGUGAAUCGUUCAGGGAAAAUCAGUAUCCUGAUCGAGCCACGAAAGAGAGAUUAGGUAAAGAGCUCGAUAUGACUUUCCGGCAGGUAUUACCUUUCUCUACUUGCAAUGCAACUAAAUGCCAUAUUUUCUGAACUAUCUCAUUUUCUUUUCUUGAGAAUCUUAAUGUUGUUGGUUUAAUUUCGGGGUUCUUAUUCGUGAAGGUCAGCAAAUGGUUUGAAAAUGCUCGUUGGAGCUUCAAUCAUCCAACAUCUAAUCAGGAAACCGCAGCUAAAAGAGUUGCAGAAAAUGCCAUAGCCUCUGCUUUUCUGAAGAAAAACUGAAUGAUCGGCAUCGUAGAGAGGGAGAAAGAGAGAAAUCAAAAUUGGUGAAAUGGAGAGGUAUUGAGACAGUUGAUUUAUAUAGCUUUAAAUUUAAUGAACAUUAUAGGAUAGGAAUAGAAGGAACUCUGUUGCUCGAGGAAAAUUUGCAGUGAAAUGUUGUGACCCUUAUCCAAAUAGAUAUUUAAAUGCUUUAUUUUUCAAAUCUCUGUUUUAAUUAAUUUUUUAUAUAGGUUUCUUUUUCAGGAUUUUUUUUUUUAAAGAAUGAAUGAAUGUAAAUAAGGGUGAUCGAGUGAAAAUUUUGCUAAUUCAGUUGAAUUUUAUUUUACCAUUUUAACUUGGUUUGAGUUAAAUUAAAAAAUUAAACAUGUUAGAUUAAAAUAUUAUUACAAUAUAACUAAUUUCAUGUUAAAUGACAAAUUUAAAAAAAAAUUUAAAGCAAAAUAAUAAUAAAAAAUAAUUUGGCAUGAUAAACUUGAAUCACUAAUUAACCUAUUUAGCUUCUAAAAGUAUUAUUUUAGAAAUUUUAGAACAUUUCAACUUUCUUUAUAUUCUUUAGUUUUUUCUUUAAAAUUAUAAUUUUUUAAAAAUAUAAUUUUUAGAACUUUUAUUAAUAUUUAGAAUCUUUAAAAUUAUUUUGAAUUUUUGAAAAUUAUUUUAACAUUUUUUGUAAUUUUUGUUGAGAGAUCAAUUUGUCCAUUUUAAAAUUAACAAAGACUAAAAAAAUACUUACACCAAUAUCUUAUUUGAGUUAUUUAAAAUUCAUCUCGACUCGAAUUUAAAACUUGAAUAACUCAAAAUUUGAAUAAAAGUUUAAAUAAAAAAAAAUCAAGUUCAUCAAUUUGAUAAAGAUUAUGCAUAUCAAAUUAAACUUUUUUCUUACUCCUGGAUUAGGUAAAGUCCUGAAGAAUAGACCACAACUUGGAAUUCAAAUUAAUGGUUCUUCAAUUGCAAUGCAAACGCGUCGGUCAAAUAGGUCAUGCCGCAAGAACAGCCUUUGCUCAUUUGAGCCACCCAUGUGAUGAGAGAAGCAUCAAAACCGAAAAGGCAUAAUUCACUAUGUGCAUAUGAAACGUAAAAAACAUAAGCACAAUAAUUAUAAAACAAAAUAUUAUGUUAAAGCUAUCAAUAACAUGUAGUCAAGCAUCACAAACCAAAGGAAUUGAUGAUCAACUGGAGUAAAAAUCUAAAUGUGCUUAACAAGGCGAUCAUAUAAGAGAAUUACAGGUUUCUUCCUUCCAGUAUCGUAAAUAGAAAACAUGUCUUUUUUUAUUGAGAUUUUUCUAAUCAGACGACUUAAGCCUCUGGUUCCCCACAGUAACAAACUAAUCUUCGACAUCCAAUUGCACUCUGCUGUGCUCAUCCAUGGCCUUUCAAGUACCUGCAAUGAAAAUUCGUGAAGUUAUCUGCACAAGGUUUUCGAUCACUUUGGAUAGAGCUGUUAGCCACAGCUUGCUUCAUUGAAUUUAUUUCAUGUGAACAAAUGUUAUUCGACCAAAAAUCAUAAUUCAAGAUUGAAUUUUACUUGCAUGCAAGAAACAGAAAGCACAAAUCUUAGAAACUCAAGUCUGAGAAAAAUACCCACAAACAAAGGAACAAAACUAUAGGAAGGUUCCCGAUAGUUGCAAUAAGCUAGCAAAGUGCUUUAAGUGAUCACCUUAAGCAAAAUCACAAGCAAAACAGUCACAUUGUUGUUCUAACUAACGAGUUUCAGGGGGUAGUGCAUUCAAUGAGUAUGAAUUCUUAAUGAACUGGAUAUCUAAUAUUUGAGGUCAGAGAACAAGGGCACUAAAUACCAUUGACGGUAUGCAACAUUGACAAGAUGUUCCAUUGACAACAUUCCAACCAUUUCCAACAUUUGACAGUAUGCAAUGCAAAAAUGACAUUCGGUUUAACUACAAGGUACUACACCACCAGUAUGAAUUUCUACAGCAUAUGAAUGAUCAAAUAUUUGAACAGCUAAAGUGAAACAAGGAACGGUUCCAAUUCUUCAUUUGUUUCAAAGAAUCUGUGUUUUGACACAUUAUGAGAAUUCAUCCUCUAAAUUUAAGAAAAAAUUUAGCAUAGCUGCGUUAGUAUCUGAUACCAAGCGCUUGAGUCUAACAUGGGUAAAGACUUACUCUUUUAUUGUAGUUUAACACAAAGAAAAAAGUUUGGUGCAAUAAUAAAAAGAUUACAUAUAUAUAAAUAUAUCCAGUAAUGAUAAGCAAGAAAACAUGACUUAAAUCUGAGUACAGUAGCAUCGCCAAGAAGAAUUAAAAGGGAACUGACCAUAUCUAGAUCACUACUCGUGUUGAGGAUCCUAGUUAUUAAAUGGCAUUUUAUAAUGAUUUAUUUAACAAGGAAAUGCUAGGUCUUUAGACCCAUUUCUUUUCUCAUAUAGCCUAUACAACAGCAGCAUAGAAUGACCAACAUAUUAGAGCUAGUUAUUAAGAGCCAAAAAGAGAAAAAAGAGAGGUUAAAACAUGUCAAGCAUAGGAGCAGUUAAAUCCAUGUGCCUUAGCUUAUAUCCAAGGGUUUAUUUUCUAUUUACUCUAUAUGAAUUAUUGAUUAAGCACAUUUGUCUAUAAUUUCAUAAUAAAAGGUAAAAUAAAAAUAAGAAAAAUAUAAACCUACAAUGUGGUACAAUUCUCUCUCCUUUAGCUGAUUGAAAGUCCACGUGCAUCACCCAUCUUUUCCAUUCCUCCCUAUAAAUCUCAAUCCCAUUUCCUUCUCAUUAACUGAAUUUAAAGAACUCAACUAACAAAUGCACCUAAUCUAUGCUUGUUUAGGUAAAUUUAACACAAAAGAUAUAAAGCAACUAUAAAGAAAAGCAAGUGUUUUUCUUUUGUCCUAACAAUGGCAUUCAUUAUAAAGCAAUUAUCAAAAAAAGGAAAAUAAUUGAAGUUAUUCAAGUUUCAAGAGAUGUGAAUAACAAACUUCCUUUUCCUUUUCAUGUACCCUAGAAAUAGCAAGACUCACAAAGAGACUACUAGCGAUCCUGACAAGUACGGCAGAAGGUACCGUGAGACAGCUCGCAACAAGCCCGCACGUUAACAGUCAGGUGUGACGUGAGACAAGCCGUAGGAACCAUGCUAUGCAGAGGCAAGAAUGAUUGGACACAUCCCAAUUCUCCCAAAUUUCUGAAACAAACAUAAGGCUAGCCAAAAUCAAUUUUGACAUCCAAGCUUCCUUUUGUCAAUGGGAAAAUGUCAGCAAACUAUGAAACUUUUUUUCAUACAAAAUAGUCUCUUGUAUGAUUCUCACUAAUCCAUACCGCCUUAGAAAUUUAAGAACCUAUUUAAUCUUGGGAAAAUUUAAGGCAAAAGGCAAGAAUAUUUUAGCUUCCCUUGAAAACAGAGAAAAUAGUAACUCUACUUUAAUCUAGUUUUCAGAUUUAAAAAUGAAAGUCCAAUUGUUAACAUCAUUAAAAUGAUUCCAUUAAGUUUAGGUUACAAAGGUUUUUUUUGGUUAUAUGAAUACCAAGCAAGUAUUUUUUUUUUUAAUUUCAAAAUGUCACACAAUGGAAUUUAACAGAAGCAUUUUAACUGUUUUGACAACUGGACUUCAAUUUUGAAAUCUGAAAAGUAGAGAUACUAAAUUCCAAAUGUACAAAAAGUAAAGGGACCUGGAGCAUAUUUUAACCUAAUUGAAUAUAACAAGAAUAAAGUCAUCAGUAAAAUUACUCUGCCAAAUCCCAAAUAAUGAAGAUUGUAAAUAAUUUCAAAAACACAUCAUGAAUUGGAUAUCGCAGUCUAUAAAUCUCCACUAACAGACAUUUCUAAUAAUUUAUAGUAAUAAAAAAAGAUGAAAAGAAAACAAUGUUGACUGGAAAAUAAGCAAUUUUGCGUUUCUUAUCUUUCGUUUCAUCCACUAAGGAGUCAAAAGAGGUGUUUAAAACAAUGACCUGGAAGGAGCAUAAGAGAGGCGGCGGGACUGGUGGCGAGGAGCAGAGGAAACCGAGGGACGUAGCCGGGGUAGCGGUGGAGGGGAGCGGAGUGAAGGAGCCCUCGCGGCAGAGAUGACAGAGCGAGACAAGGAUCCUGCACUUCGCCAAGCCAUUUUCACAGUGAAGAUUGAAGCGUUUCGGUAAGAGAGAAGCUGAAUAAAGUAGUGAUUUGCGUAAAGGUUUUGGUUAGGGUUUAAGGGGUGUGCCUGUAUCCAUGAUUCGGGUCGGAUCCUUUUCGGAUGGGUCUAUGUAUGUAGUCUUUUAAGCCCGGCCCAUUCAGAAAUAUGUGUUAUAGAGUUUAACUAAAUUUAGAGUCCGUUUAUUUACAUGUAAAAAAUUUUAUAGAAAAUAUUUUUUACAUUUUAUUGUGUUUGUUUUAUAGAAAAUAGUUUGUUUAAUGGAAAAUAAGUUACAAGUCAAGGUAAAAUAAUAAGCCUUUUUCCUGUAAAUUUUUCGGAAAAGAGCUGUCUAUAAAUAAUUUUUUUUUAUAAAAAUUAACUUAAAUCAAGCUUAAUAUUAUUAUAUUAAUAAUAAAUUUUAUUUUUAUUUUUAAAAAUAUGUAAAAUAUUAUAUUUUUCAAUGUUAUUAAACAUAUAUAUUUUAUUAUUUAUAUUUAGUCUUAUAAUAAAUUAUUAAUAUAAUAAAUAUAAUUUAUUAUUUUAAUAAAUUAUUUAAUAUUUUAAUUUUAUUUUAAUAAUAAAUUUUAAAAUAAAAAAUUAAAUAAUAUUAUUCAAAUAUUAUUUAAAAUAUUCAAUUAUUAAUAUUUUAAUAAUAAAUAUUUAUUAUAAUUAUAAAUAUAUUAAUAAUAAAUGUUUUGUAGUAUAAAGGUUAAAAUAUGUCAUAAGUCUAUGUACACUUUACAGAUUUGUAAUUUAGUCUUUGUACUUUUAUUUUCAAGAAUUUAGUCCCUUUACUUUUCAAAUUUAAAAAUCAAGUCUAAUUGUUGUCAUCGUUAAUUUUUUUUUGUCAAUUUUGUUGAUGUCACAUUUUUAAAUAAAAAAAUACUUACUUAGUAGUUAUGUAAUUAAAAAAUGACGUUGUAAUGAAUCUAAAUUUAACAGAAUAUUUUUAAAAUAUGCAAAAAUAAUGUAAAAUAUAAAAUUAUAGAUAAAAGUAAAUUCAAUUAAACAAUGAAAAAUAAGAAAAUUUCAAAUGUAUGUUUGUUUAAUUGAAAAUAACUUUUAUGAAAUAUUUUUAAGAAAUCUACCAAAUAACAGAAAAUAUUUUACACAGAUUCAUCCAAACACCAGAAAAUAUUAGCUUUUCUAAUAAAGUAAAUCAUUUUCCAGAAAUCAUUUUCUGGAAAUCAUUUUCAGUGAAACAAACGCAGCCUUAUUUGAAAAUAUGCUAUUUUUUAAUAUCUUUAUUUAUUAAAAUUUUAAAAUACAUUAAAAUUUUCAAAAUUUACAAUAUAGUACUAUAUUUUUAAUUUUCAUGUAAUAUAAAUUAUAUAAUAUGUAAAAUAAAAUAAAAUAAUAACAAGAUAAAUAAAAUAUUAUUAUAAACCAAAGACAAACCUAUUUUCUAAUGGGUUUAAUUCUUUUUCUAUACACUUUUUGCUUUUUUUUUAUAUAGAGCCUAAAAUUAUUCAUAAUCUCAUAUACUCGAAUUCACGAUCUCAUGUACUGACAAUAGUACUAAUACCAAUCGAGUUAACAUUCAAUCGGUUUUUCUAUACUAUUUUUUAGUAUAUUAAAAUUUUCUAAAUCUUCUCAAAUGUUAAAUUAGUUAACAAAUAUAUUAAAUUAAUAAAGGAGCUUAGAUGCAUAAUUUGACUCUUAAACAAAAUUACAAAACUAACUUAAAAGAAGUACGAAAUUAUUGAAAAAUUAAAGAAAAUCUUGUGAACAACCCAAGGCUUAAAUUACUUGGGCCCAAAUCUAUUAGCAUAUGUUAACCAUUGUAGGAAUCUCCCAGCCGAAGUGUGCUAAACAUUAUUUCUUUGUAUAUGAGGACAUGGAUUCCAAUAUUUGGCGGAGAAAGUGUAGCCAUGGAUGGACUUGCAUAUUAAUAAUCUAUAGAGAGAAGUCAUAAAAAUACAACUCAUUUGCUAUUUGAUUCUUUGGUUGUAAUUAAUAAUAUAUCAUAAUUUAUUAUGAUAACAUUCGUUACAUUUAUAAUAAUAAUAAAUGAUAAUAUAAAAAAAUGUAUUUAAAAUCAAAAUUUAAAUCUUAAAAAUCAAAGCUUUAAAGGUUAGAUUUUAGUAAUCCGUGUGAUACGAUGCAAUUGUGCUAGCCAAGGAAGACCUCUACUAUAAAUUAGUUGUUUAUUACUUCAAUUUAUACACAAAGAAAGAAAGUUACAUAUAAAAAGGUGGAGUCUGGAUGAACGGUUGGGUUUUAAUUUGUUUUUUGUUCUGUACUACAAUAUUAUUAUAAUAUUUAAUCUCACCACUAUUAUUAUUUUUACACUAAUUACAAGUAAAAUGCGACAAAUGAACCGAAAGGUUCACUAUAAUUUUUACAAGCUUUUAAGAUCUCUAUUUUAUUUUCCGGGCGGGAUUAAUGGCAAAUCAACUUCAUCACACCAUUCAACACACCUUGUUUCCACAUAAGAACUCCUCACAUUAUUAGGCCAAUAACUCAACCAAACUUCACCUCCAAUUCUCCAUUUCAGAACACUCCCUUCCAUGUCCCUGUUCAAUCUCCAUCCUACACCUUCUCCAUAAUCAUCUCCUGCAAAUACCAAUCCACCAGCUUUGGUAAAUGGCCUGUUAGCUCCAUAGUACCUAUGCUGGAAACCAUGGCUGCUGCCGUUGCUAUUUUGAUCGAACGAUUUCCACGUUGCGAUUUCGUGGCCCGUCACGUUGUCGCAUAGCACCGCGUCGAACACCGCGGCGUUCCCUUCCGCGUCUUGAUCCCACCUCCAGUUUUUCAUCUUGUUCUUCAUGGAAACCCUUGCUCUUGCUUUAACAUGGGAGGAAUCCUUUGAAUAUUUCCCGAAUCUCCCUUUAAGGAUCCUUUGUGUUUCGACUUCGUUUUCACCAUUGUUCGUGGACCGACCCAAGGUUAACCCGGACACGUACGUUGACCCGACUUCCGGUCCGACCCAAACUCGGAUCCUCGACGGGAAGUGUUUCUCGUUCAAGAAAUCAUCCAUUUCGUCGUUUUUUUUGCUGAACCCUAGUCUGGCCACGUGGAAGCGUAAGUUAUCGACACGUGCGUUCACUUGAAUGUACCCAUCAUGGAAUCCAAUGGUGUAUUCCAAUUGAAUGACGGCCUCGAGCUGCUGGUGUGCGAGUGCGUACCUUAACAGUGAACCCUUUGCUCCGGUGGCCGGAAAUUGGCUUUUCUGAUCACUUGAAUGUAAUAGCUUCAUUGCAUUAACCGGUGCAUACCCUUUCAAGGUCCAAAAUCCAUGAGCCUCGGUUGCAUAUGAAAAUCCCAAGUGCUGCUGCUGCCCUUUUAAAGGAGUUAUUAGCGUUUUUAAUCCAACGCUGAGUUCACUUAAAAUGAUCCAUUUGGUCAACAUGUACCCCAAGGUUCGCAUGAAACACAGCUCGGUGUCGACACCAAUGGAGACCAGAAAGGUCCUCAGCACGGGGACUUGUUUAAACGUUAAUGCUUCGAUGUUUGGACCUAGUAAGUAUUGGAAAUAGAAAGACCCGAUUUCACUAGGAGCAUCCCAAGAACAUAGCCAAAACAAGCGUGUGAGAAGGACAAGGUUAAAGAAACUCGAGAAUGAUUCGGGUGAGUGAGACUCAAUGAUCCAAGAAAUGGGUUCGGGUUUGAGUUUUUGAAGCUGAGACCUCGGGCAAAUGGUGUUGGGCAUUGCUGGUGAACGGCUGAUGGUUUCUUGGAGAAGCUGAAGUACUAAAGGGAGGAAAGGUUGCUCUGAAGAUAGAGAACAGGGGUCAGAGACCCAAAGAGGUGAAGAUUGGAACCCUUGGAAGCUUAUUGUGAAGGUUAUACAGACCUCUGAAUCGGACCCCAUGGUACGCUCGGCUUUGAGUUGGAUCGAACGAGUUGAGCUUGAGUCGCCUUCCUCAGAACUCGCCAUUGUAAAGGCGAGCGGUGGAUGUGGGUCUGAUUCACCCCAAUCGUCAUUGUUAGGAGGCUCACAUAUCCAAGACCAAAUGUCCAUUAUGUUUGCUUGGUGGGUUUCAGCCUCUGGGAUAUCAAAAGAUUGGAGACCUAUUGUUUCGUUUUAUAGAGAGAGAUUCAUGAUGUUGUUAGGAAUCGGGUAAAUUGCACUUGAAGUCCCUUAUGGUGUAGAUUUUAAAUUGCUUUCUAAAUUUUAAAUGUUUAUAUUAGUAUCAUAUCAAUCAAAUUCUUCCAUAAGUCUAUUGUCAUAUUAGAUGUUAAAUUCUAAAUACAUAUAGACUUGUUGCAUAAAUAGUUUGGAUAUAACGUUUAGAAAAAAAAAAAGAGUAUUUAAAAUUUGGAAGAGUUAUUUUUCUUUAACAUGGUAGAUCAUGUGGUAAGUAUCAUAUUUAAAGUUUAAUUCAUGUAUUUUAAAUAUACUUCAUGUGUGGAGAAACCAAGAAUUAUGUGAUGAGAACCGAGAUAAAAUAAAAAAAAUUUGGGGGCAUAGCUAAAGUAACUUGUAUUGAAAUGACUUAAAUUGAAUUUUAAACUUUUGAUAAGAGUAAAAAAUGCAAAUUAUUUUUAUUUAAUAAAGAAGCUAAAAGAGAUUAACAAUUGGAAGAACUAAGGUUGCAAAUGUACCAUUCAGCCUAAGGCCCUUGCCUCCACCUUAGGGUAAAAUCUAGGCUGACAAGAAGACCUUAUUGCAAUAAGUAUUAAUACUCUGAGAUGUAUGAUGCAAUUAUCCCUUAAAAUUUUAAGGAAAGAAUGAGUGAUGGUAGAUUCGCCAACUUGCAAGUAAAUGUAAGCCAUGAAAAUCACCAAUGAAAGAACUGCCUGGAAUUAAACUGGUGGUGCUAAGUUGUUUGGUCGUUAUGUCUUAUUUAAUACUAGUAUACUAUAGCGCUGAUUUUUCAUUCACUCCCUUUCAUUUAUUUCAAUUUCUGGCUUUUGACGGCCUGAUAAGGAAAGCAAUGGUGAUUUUGCAAAGGACAAUACGUUGCAGAUCCCGACGCCGUCGUUUAACGUUUUAUGGAUGUAUCGACCUAGACGUGUCAUGUUCAAAGGCGGAACUGGACAAGUUUACAUGUCUGAAUUUGAAUCACACAAAAAAGAAAAAAAAAAUCCGGGGUCGUUUAAUGUCUGUUCUUUCUUAUCCUAUCAAUGCUUAUGAAUAUCUUUGAGAAUCAUAGGUUAACAACAAGUGAUUGAAACCCUAGCAACGAAAUGAAAACAUAACCAAAACAUACAAACACGUAAUAAGGCCAUGUAGGCCACCCUGGCCAUGCAUUUAGUUUGUUUUGUAUCCCCACUAGUGAGAGCAAUGUCUGAGUGGUCCUUUAACCUAGAUGAGCCCCACAAGCUGUCACCAUUUUUUCAAUGAGUAAAUUUAUGUAGGGGAUCCCUCUAGGCUUUACCAUAAAGGAUGUUUUUCCUUAAAGCAAUAUUUCUUUCCCAACAUUUCUCCAAUAAGCAAAUUUGUUGGGUUGGAUAAAGCUUCCAUUCUCGCUUGCCUAGUAGAGGUUGGUUUACCCCACUCUUUCUUUUAAAACAUAGACCACUUCUGGUUUUAGGGACACAUAGUUUGUCUCAACUCUUGAGUUGUAGUAUCCAUUUUAUCAUAGAUAGUGUUAGAAACGAGAUAGGUGAUAAAUUAGAAUUUUUAUUAUCUUUAAAUUGAAUUAUAAAUUUUUUGAGAAUAGGGAGAGGCUUUGUCUACCCUAAUUAAAUUUCAUGGCCUAAAGAAAACCUCAAUCAGCUCAAUUUAGAUUGUCCAGUCCAAAUAAAAAAUUAAUUAAACAAAAAGAGAUAAAAGAUCAAAAUUAUAUAUUAACUUUGAUUCAAUAUGUAAUAUCAUAUAUAAACUUUGAUUUGUGCGAUUUUAUAUAUGAAAUUUUGGUUUCAUAAAUCACUGACAACAUUAUCAAAUUAGUACUAUUUUACGUUGAUAUAUUGCAUACACAAACAAUCAUAUUAAUCCAAUAUGAAAAUAAAAGUAUGCAUUCAUUUCUUUAAACAUGCACAGUUGAACAAAAAUAAAAAUUUCAUGUAUACAUAUAAACAACAAUUCAAGUUUCAUAUGUAUAAUUGUACCAAAUCAAAGUUCAAGUAUCAAAUUGCAUAUUAGACCAAAAUUCAUGUAUAAAUUUAAUAUUUAUCCAUUAAAAAAACAAAUUCUAAACUAAACUAACUAAAAGUAGAGUAUGUUGUUCGCAUUAUGUCCAGCGCAUUUACCUUGAAUGAGCAAUCAGAAAACCAAAUCUUUGAUGAAAAAAAUGUAAUAGAAUUUGAUCAUAAAACCUUUUAAAUUCAGUGGUAUGAACAAGGUCUCCUUUUGUUUGGUUUUAAAUCCAAAGGAAACCAAAAUAAUAAUAUAAAGAAGAUGAAGAAAUAAUAUAAGAACGUAGCUUUAAAAAGUAAUAGAAAUAAUGGUUUUCUUGAAAAAAGAAAGGAAUAUAGUUUUGGUAACUAAAGUCUCAAUCGGGUCCCUAUUUUCUUUUCUUGAAAAAAGACCCUUGACUUGACAUCAGGGCUUAGGGCGUUCAUGGGACGUAUACCAAAGGCUACUGCUUCAAGGUUCAAAAAAAAAUUGUAUAAAAUUAUAAUUCUACGUCAUCUUUAUUCUUUUUUAAUAGGAGAAUGAUAAAUCAUAUUUUUCCUCUUGAUUUUCAGUAUUUUUAAUUAGAUUUGAAUUAUUUUAGGAGGAAAAAGUUAAAAAUUAAGACAAAAAAUCUGAUUUGUCAUUCUCCUAUUGCAAAGGGAUAAGAAUGAUGUAGAAUCACAGUUUUAUACAAUCUCUCAUUCUGCUUCAAUCUCUUUGUAAACUUAAAUUAUCCCUAAUAUUUAAAACAUUCUAAUUAAAAUUUUUAAGUAUUAACAUCGUGUUAAUUAGGUCUUUUUAUCGGCCAAAUGUAAUUUAGUUGAUAAGUAUCAAAUCGGAUAUGAUUUGAAGCAUAUUUAAAACAAGUAGAUCAAUUUUAAAUAGGUUACUUAUUAAGAAAAAAAACAGUGUUAUUAAAUUUAGGAGGAUUAUUUCUUUCUUUUAACAUAUUACAGGUUGUUCAUGCGAUAGAUAUACAUAAAUUUAAAAUUUGAUCCGUGUAUUCUAAAUGUGCUUCAUAUCAAAUUUGAAUUAACAUUUAACACCUAAGUUGAUGGUUAAAUUGACGAACUGAUUGAUACAAUAUUGAUGAUACUUUAAGGAUUUAAUUAGAAUAUUUCCAACUUUAAAAACUAAUUUGAAGUUUAUAUCAUAUCGUAGGAGCAUUUAGUACAAUUAAUUUUUUUUCAUUUUUAAUUUUAAAUAAAUAUAGAUUAAAUAAGAACUAAGAUAUAGAUGGAGAAUGGGGAUAGCUAGGAACUUUUGAAAAAGGUUGUUUGGUAUAUUUUAUGUUGGUCUUGUCGUAUAUAUUUAGAUUUUGUGGCUGUUUUUUUUUUAAUGUCAUUUUUAAAGUUUGAAUUUAUAUUCUUUUCUUAAGAGUAUAAUAUAUCUUACUAUUAUGCCCAACACUUGUUGAUAAGUAUUUUUAAAAUUUAGACAUGAUUCCUACUAAUAAUUUUGAUGAACCAUUAUUUCUAUAAUUUUUUUUUAUAAGAGACAACAAAUUUUACUUUACAUUUGUAUAUACAUCACAAAUUCAAUAAGAUUAUUUUUGUUGCAUUGGUAUCAGAAAUACUUAGAAGUUCCCAUAUUAAAAAUUAAGAGGUAAAUUCAAAUAUAUAUUUUCUAAAAAAUAAUGAGAUAUGAAACAAAGAGAUCUCUUUGAGUAAUUGAAAUUGAAAAAAAAAAUGGUGGUUAAUGUGGAUUCUCUCAGGAGCUUUGAACGAUUGGGGUUGCCGCUGUCGGUGGACCUUGAAAAAGCCACUAACAGGGUAAAAAAUAGAGAGGAUAUAGUGGAGGUAAAUAAGAUGGAACAAGAAAUUUGAAAGCUACUUUCAAAGAGAAGUUCAUGAGCAACUCAAAGGAAUCUGAUGCGGAGGAAAAUGGUGAAGAGAAUGGUGAGAUCUCUCUUAUUGAAGAUGAUGUUUAGGUUUUAAUGAAGGGCUAAUAUCCUGAGAUCAAUUUCUCUGAACGAGUGCAUGAGUUGACUGAUCGGAGUAUGAGUCUUACUAUUAUUGUAACACUCUUCACCAUUCUCUGUCACCAGAUUAGGGUUACAAGAUGCUAAAAUGCAUAACAAAAGAAAAUUGUGCUAUAUCAAUUCAUAUUUUCUCUAAACAAUAAUCAUACAUCAGUCAUGUAAUUAAAAACAUGUCAUUCAUACAUUAUUGGGGUUAAAUCGGGCUUAAGGAAGCUCUAAAACAAUUUCAGAACACAGCAAUGAUUAAUUUGAAACAUUUCAAAAAAUUUUGACAAAAAUACAAAAUAGGGACAGGUUGAGGCUGUGUGGAGUUGAACCACCUAGUUGUGUCCCCAAACCAUGUAAUGUGUGUGUCUUUGUUUGUGGUAUUACGCAAGGAGAGAAAUUGAAGUCAUGGUUAAAUAAGCCUCUUAUGUUGAUUCCUAAGGUUGAGGGAUCAACGAUGUUUCAACAAUUUUGACCAAUCAAUUUAUGUACGAUUAUAUAUAAAGUUGUGACAAAAAUAAUUGUAUACCAACUUAAAUCAUUGUAUAAAGUUGUGACGAAAGUAUUGUGAAUCAAAUUAAACCACUCUUACCUUUAUGGAUCUCUUCCAAUUAGUGAAGUUUUGUUUCAGGAAGAUGCAAAACUAACAACAUCAUCAUUGGUCAAGAGGUAAUUCAUUUAAUGAGAAAAAGAAUAGAAAAUAAAGGGCGGAUGGCUAUUAAAGUUGAUAUGGAAAAAGUGUAUGAUAGAUUAGACUUGGUUUUAUUCAAUAAUGGAGUUCCUUUUCAUUUAAGCAAUAUCAUAAUGCACUGUGUUACCUCAACUGCUAUGCAAAUAUUAUGGAAUGGUAGUUUGAUUGAGAAAUUUCUUCUGACAGGGUGACCCUUUAUCCUUUAUAUUUUUGUUUUAUGUAUGGAAAGGUUAACUAAUUUGAUAUCCCAAGCAGUUUCUGUUAAAAAAUAAACCGAUUUUCAAAGUCAAAAAUUGCAGCGAAAGAAUUUCUAUCAAAAUUGGCCUAUAGAAAUGAUAAAGUUUAUCAAGCUGGAAAUUUCAUGAAAAGUCAAGGAUGAUGGCAGCAGCUUUAAAAGAAAUUAGCUUGUAAGGUGGAUAGCAAGCUGUCAAGAAAUUGGUUUGCAACUUGGCUUAUUAGCCUGUACAAUGGAUAAGUAGUAUCAUUUAUGAUAUACUUAAGCGAUAAAACAAUCAUUAAGGCGAUAAACUAUGUAUAUAUAUAUAUGUAUGUUUAGUUCAUGUGUGAGUGCUGGAAAAUGUUAGUGAGUUUGAGAGAAAAAAAAAAAAAGAGUGUUGUGAGUUGUAGAAGGAAAAACUAGCAGCAGUUAGUAUAGAGAGAAAAAGAAAAAGAGAGUUUGUAUUGUAUUUAUUUGUAUAUAAUAAAAAAAUAGUAUUUGAUUUAUUUUUAUUACGCUUCCAGCAAGUCGUAUCAGAGCUAGGUUCGUGUUGACGUCACAACGGAAAACAUGAUUCAACCGCAGAUUUCGAAAUUAACAAAGACAAAUUAUGGAAACUAGAGCAUCCAGAUGAGAGCUUUGCUCGGUUCUCAAGAUUUUUGGGACGUUGUCAAAGAAUGAUAUGUCGAUCCCGAAAAUAUAACUACCGAAGCGACUUUGACAAACAAAGAAAAAAGAAUAUUGAAAUAAGCUCGUAAAAAGGAUAAGAGGGCGCUGUUCUUUAUUUUUCAAGGUGUUGAUGAAUCGACCUUUGAAAAAAUUUCAGAUGCGAAGACAUCAAAAGAAGAAUGGGGAAUUUUGCAAAAAUCCCUUCAAGGAGCGGAAAAAGCCAAAAAGGUAGGUUUACAAACCCUUAGAGCUGAAUUUGAGACGUUGAAAAUGAAACCUUCAGAAAUGUUGAUGAAUAUGUCAUUCGAAUGAAAGCAAUGGUAAAUGAAAUGAAAAAAAAUGGAGAAACACUUGAUGAUGUCAGAGUAAUGGAAAAAAUUUUGCGGUCAUUAACACGCAAAUUUGAUUAUAUGGUGGUUGCCAUUGAAGGGUCAAAAGAUUUAUCACAAAUAUCAAUCAACGAACUUGUGGGUUCCCUUCAAGCCCAUAAGCAUAAAAUGAAGCAAAAUGAUGAUACUGAAAAUUCGGACCAAGUCUUGCAAAACAAGUUGUCCUUCAACGAAAGUGGAGCUGGGGAUAACUUUGGACAAAGUACAAGUAAUCGUGGAGGAUACCGUGGAGGAUAUAGAGGCAGAAAUAGAGGUGGACGAGGAACACAUGGACGAGACGAUCAAUCAUAUGGUAAAGUCCAAACAAGUGAAGAAUAUCAAACAUCAAGUCGUGGAUAAGGAGCUCGAUGCCUAGGUCGAGGCAGAGGUAAAUUUCAAUAAAGAAAUAAAUCUCAGGUAUAAUGUUAUAAUUGAAAUAAAUAUGACCAUUAUAGUUACGAGUAUAAAUUAAAUCCCAAGAUGGAGGAGAGAAAUCAUGUAACAGUAGCUAAAGAAGAAGAAAACGUGGAAUCUAGUGUAUUCCUCACUUAUAAAGAAAGUGAAAAAUUAAGAAAAAAUAUUUGAUAUCUUGAUAAUUGCUCCAGCAAUCACAUGUGUGGCCGAAAGGACUUAUUUUCAGAGUUGGAUGAGAAUAUUCAUGGCUAUAAAAUGGACCUUUAGCAGCACUUUUUUCACAAACGCCGCUAAAAACAUUAGCUUUAAAAAAAUUUAUUUUAAUUAAAUAAUAUUUAUUUCUAUGAUAAAUAUUAUAUUAUGUUUAAUUUUUAAAUUUUGAACUUUAAAUUAUAUACUUUUAAGGAUAAAUAAAAAAUAUUAAUUAAAUUAAAUUUUCUAUUAAAAUUUAAACUUCAAAACUAAAUAUAAAAUUAAUGAAUUUAAAUUAACGAAACAAGAACAUUGAUCAAGUUAAAAAAUAAAAAAGACAAUGAAGAAAUUAAGGGUCAAACAUUAGCUCCAAUAAAUGUUCAAAAUAUAAGACAGCCACCUUCAAAUAGAAAUUAAAUAACAACUAAAGCAUCCAAUGGAACAUAAUUUCACUCUUCAUCACUAAAUGUUUCCUCAUAAACAUGACUUUAUCCAAAACAAAACCUCAUACCAUUACAAAUUGCCUUUUAAGCAGAAGCUACUGCAACCUUCUUUCUUGGUGCUGCUUUAGUAGCUAUACAUCACCCCCAAUAAAAAAUAAGAACAUUUUGAAAGAAAAAAUAAAAUCCAAAAUUUCUUACAGGAACAGAAAUACGCAAUGGAACUAAAAUCAGAAUGCAAUGAGCCUAAGGACAUUAGCAUUUUCCUACCUUCCCUGAAACCUGUCUUGAACCUACGAGGAACGUGGCGAAGAUACCUCUAUACACCGGUGAUGGAGAUGUUAGCCUCAUCUAAUUAAAACCAACAGCUAGAAACACAAAUAAUCACACAAGUUAAAAAACCCAAAAUAAGUACUUAAACACUUCAAUUUGCAACAUUUAAGCACUUCAAUUUACAACAUUUAAACACUUCAAUUUGCAGCAUUUAAACACUUCAAUUUGCAGCACUUUAACAUCUCAAUUACCAACAUUUAUACACCUCAAUUACAGCGAUAAAACAUCUCAAUGUCCAGCAACUAAACACUUCAAUUUGCAGUACUUAAACACUUCAAUUUGCAACAUUUAAGCCCUUCAAUUUACAGCAUUUAAACACUUCAAUUUACAGCAUUCAAACACUUCAAUUUGUAGCACUUUAACACUUCAAUUUACAGCAUUCAAACACUUCAAUUUGUAGCACUUUAACACUUCAAUUUACAGCAUUUCAACACUUCAAUUUACAGCAUUCAAACACUUCAAUUUGCAGCACUUUAACACUUCAAUUUACAGCAUUAAAACACUUCAAUUUGCAGCACUUUAACAUUUCAAUUAACAACAUUUAAACACUACAAUUUACAGCAUUCAAACACUUCAAUUUGCAGCACUUUAACACUUCAAUUUACAGCAUUAAAACACUUCAAUUUGCAGCACUUUAACAUUUCAAUUAACAACAUUUAUACACCUCAAUUACAACAAUAAAACAUCUCAAUUUCCAGCAACUAAACACUUCAAUUUGCAGUACUUAAACACUUCAAUUUGCAACAUUUACUACUAAUAUAUAAUUUUAGGAUUCAUUAACCAAGAAAAGGAAGGAAAAGUAUUCUUACUGCCAUGGAAUAUCGCCUGCAGUCAGCCAUUCUCCUUCUUUGUCCUGGUAGGUGAGAAUAUAAUCAUCUUCAUCACAUUUCUUGUCUGUUCAUGACAUGAAAAAGAAAAAAGCAAGCUAAAUAUUGAGAUUUUUGGUAUUCUUUUAUCUUUUGAGGAAUUUAUGUAUAUAAUCAAUGACUUUACCUUUGGCAAACAUGGUGAUCAAGGAGUGAUUUAAAAUAUAAAUCAUGAAAAUCUUUUACACUAAGGAAAAUAAUGUUUUAGUAUAUAUAUUGUUGGAGUGAUUUAAACCUUUUUGGAUCUUAUGCGUUUAAAGACAGAAUCAAGUUGUUGCUCCAAAUUUUGAAGCUCUCUAAGACUCAAAUUCUAGAUAUCUUCUCCUUCGUAAUGCCUAGAAAUAUAAUUAAUUAUUUAUUAAAAGAGAAAGAUGCUUGCCUUGAAUGUAUCUGAAAUUUGAAGCCAUUGGGGGUACCUCAGGUUUCUUUGUAAAGUCUGCAUUAAGUUUUGCAUGUUCCCAGCUCUAGUUUCCCUGUAAAAGAACAUAUAUGUUCUUUCUUGGUGCUGCUUCAGUACCUAUACAUCACCCCCAAUAAAAAAUAAGAACAUUUUGAAAGAAAAAAAAAACCCAAAAUUUUGUAUUAGAUCCCAAAUCCACUGAAUACUACUUCAAAAUUCAUGCUUUUUUAUGCAUAAUGCACAUGUAAAAGUACAACUAGAAGCAGUAGUUUAAAAUUAAGUCGUAAAGUAAUCCCCCAGUAGUUAUAAAGAAAUAUCACUGGCCAUGGAACUAAAAUGACAUUCAUCACCUUUAACAGCUUGUGCCAUAAAUCUUUUAUGGAGUGCAAGUAGAAAAACAGCCACAUCAUGUAUCAUUUAUCAUAGAUAUGUGCACACACACAAAUCAGAGUGUAAGUGCUGGAAAAUUUUUUAAAACCUUACAUUAUCAAAUUAGAACUAAUUAAACAAAUAUAGAAAAGAAAAUAAAUAAUCGUAAAAUACGGGGCUGGCUUCAUUAACUAUCUCACCUUGAUUCAUGAGGGUGCCCACAUCACCUCAUCAUGAAAAAUUAUAUUUAUUAAAUAAUUUACCUUGUUUUAUCUGAUAGAAUCAUAGUUCACAAUAGUGCAAUGCUGAUCAUAUCCAUCACUUCAUCUAUGUUGCAAUCUGAGCCAAUCCUUGUAUCAACAAAUUCCAACAAGUUCCCAUUCUCCUUCAAAACAUGAGCCUAUAAAACAUACAAAUUUAAUUGCCACAUUCAAAUUCAUUGAUAAAAAAAUGAAACUCAAACUGAAAAAUGCAUAAACUUUCUUUGUCAUGUAUAUAAAGUACUUGUGUUUGGUAUAUGUGAUAUGUGUUUGACAUUCUAUAGUAUAAUCCUUCAUAUGUAUAAUAGCUUUUAUUAAAAGGUUUCCAAUGAACCCUUGAAGAGUAGGACCAUAUGAAUUCCUUCAUUAAGGACUAUCAGUUAAAAAUGCCAAAAAGUGGCCAACAGACACCAGUUGUUCAGGUUCAGCUAUUAAUCCCAGCCUAACAUCACUUGAUAGCAAGCUAAAAGGAUUAAACAUACACCAAAUACGUAAUGAGCUAAUGGUCCAAGUCUGUCACCAGGAAACUAUAGUGUUACCCAUAACUACAAAUGAAUUUCCACAUGCCAACAUUCUAGAAACUCACACGCAUGACCUGUUUCCUUCUAAAAGAUAUAAAAUUAAUUCAAUAAUUAAGUGGAAAAGGGCUCUUUAGCUCGAGGAAUGUCAAGCUUCUGAAACAUGACAUGAGGAACGCCCUUAAACACUGAAAUACAAGUUGACAGCUAAGCACAUGUUGUAGCAGGAUUCAUCAAUCAAAUGUGCUAGCAGUCUUCUAGCAUAGGCUCGAACAGAAACAUUCAAGAACUUUACAUGAAAAUUCAACAAUGGAAUUAGAUUAAUAAAAGACUCCUAUGCAACAACAGUAUCAAAGAGAGAGCUUUUUUCAUUUAAAAGAAUGCCUGGCUAACAUUUCUAAAGCAAACUUAAACAACUGUCCAAAUCAUGAUGGUAACCAUGUCCUCCAUGAUUAUCAUUUUUUAACUCUCAUCAAUAUAAGUUUUUUGCUCUACACCUCUUCACAGACAAUCUAGUCUCAACUUCCAGGUACAUCAAUAAUUUAUGAUAAAACAGGCAGAACAUGAGAAAUAUAAAUCACACAUAAAUUUGUACAUCCAUGAUGCUUAUCUAAUCUAAAAUGUAAGUGCUAUUCAGGAUGCAUAUAUAUAUAUCAAUAUAAAUGAAAGAAAUAUACUCAUGCAACAUAUAGCUAUACUAAAUCCUUGACCUUCCAUAUAAUCAAAAUGAAACAAUUUAAAUAUCUACAAAAAAAAGGGGGGGUGGGAGUAGGGUAACAUGGCAAAGUUGAUAAUCUACAAUGAGAUCAACUUAGACUAAAUGUUUAUUUUUAAUGCUAUCAAAUUCCUUAUAUCAUAAACAAGCAGACCCUUCAUCAAAAUAAACUUUUUUCUUAGUCCAUUCUCUUAUAAAGUUUUCCAUUUUACUUUCUAGUUUCUUUUGAGCUUGAUCACAGAAUUAAUUUUUUUUCAAUACUAAACCCUAAAGGCUAGAACUUUCCAAUUUAAGUUAAACAUAAUAAGCAAAAAGAAAGGGGAAAAAAGCAGAUCCUUAAGCACAAAAGCAAAGGAAGAGUAAGAAAAAGACAUACCAGCCUUGCAAGAAAAAAAAAUCGCAGAAAAGCCCUAAAAACUAAACCUAGAUCUUAUGAAGUGAUUUUCUCUGUUAUAUUAAUUCCCUUAGCUUUAAUCCCUGGCCGUUGCUGCUUUUAUGCUACUACCACUAAUACUAGUGUAUUUGAUUAUAUAUCAAAUCAAAAUCUCCGGUUUCCUCUUUAUUAAUCAAGCAGUAUCUCUUUAACUAUUCAGAACAAAUAGAACCACUGUAUUCAGAAUAACAUCAGCAUCCAUGAGAUAAACCUAAAAGAGAAGGGGACAAAUGGACUAACCAAUGGACAUAAUGGCAAACAACGUUUAGCCUGUGAGAGUUGAGUUUAGUGCGCUAUGAACAUCAAUCCCAAUCUGUGCUUCAGCUUUCUCCAAUUCAGUUGUGGCUAGCUCAGCUUCUGGGUGAAAUCUACAAGCCUUUUUUGGACAAGAUUUGCGUUGAUCCGAUCAAGUGGCACUGCCUUGACAGUAAUUAUAUCUGCAAAUGAGUUGGCAUGGAUAAAAACAAAACCGCUGCUGACAAAGUACUUUGUAGUUUCACUUCCUUCAUGCACUGACAGCACACCAGGCUUAAAUUCUGCAAUUGUUGCUACAUGUCCUGGAAGAACACCCAUCUGUCCAGUUGUGGCUGGUACUAUAACCAUGUCAACCUGGACACAGAGAGUUCAAGAUUUAAGAGAUUCAUCUUAAGAGCAACAUAUAGUCAAUGAUUUCAGACAUUAUUAUUAUUUUCCCUUCAUCCACCUCAUUUUUUUUUUCUCUUACGGGGUACAUCAACACCAUGAAAAGUUGCAUUACUGUUCCAAAUUACAUAGGACUAAUAUUCAUGGAAGAACCUACCAUGCCCCUCAGCCAAACCCACACUGAAAACAAAUAAGAAAAACAUAAAAAACAAACAUGCAUUCCUCUCUUUCAUUGUUUCAUUUAUUAUCAAUCAGAAUGGCUUCUAGGGCAAGGACAGUUCAAUAUUGUAGCUUUACUUUAUUAUGUUUACCAUUGCUCAAACUUAGCAAAAGAGCAAGAAAAACAACAGUGAACUUAGGUUGAGUCAUCCAAGUUGAAUGGAAGAGCCAUAUAAGGUCAGAUUUAGUUGAAAAUAGAGGAAAUUCCCUUAAUGGUCUAGGUGUUGGAAUUUUCUGAGAGAAAAUAUAGAUGGAAAUGGAAGAAGAAUGUUCAACAUACAGUAUCUUUCAAUCACAGCAAGGAUUACGAUUAAAAUCUAAACAAUUUUAAUAAUAAUACAAUUUUAACCUCAUAACGCCGUACGAUUCCUCGACGCACUGUUCUGUGACUCCUACAUAAUCAAUUGUUCCAUGUUAAGAUCAAGAACUAAAUAUUCAAUUUAAAAUUAAAGCAAAUGAAUCGUGCUCCUAAAGUGAAAUUAAAUGAGCAAAUCUAGAUCCAGAAGCAAGGCACUCGAAUUAAUAGAUUUAAGCAGCCAAAAUUUCCAAAUAAAAUAUCUACAAAAUUAAAGAAAAAAGAAACAUUUAGGCCAAAUUUUUAACUUCUGAAUGAAAAAAAUGCUCUAAUUAAAAGGGGGGGGGGAAUAAACCUGGUUAGAGGAGGUUGGAGAAAAAGAAACAUGUUGGACUUCGGCGGAUGAAGACGAAGUGAGAGCCACCGUAGACGCAACGAGCACGGUCGCAACAGGAGGUCCAGAUCCCUUCAUUUUCCCGAUUCUUUUCUAUAUCCGCGAUCGAACCUCAAAUAAAGAGUUAUUUUUUUGGAAGCUCCGAUGACGAAUGGGUGAAAUUCGACGAACUUCGCCGGUUCCCGACCUCCUUCUUUCCUUUUUUUUUCUCAGCCGAACAAAUACAGUACAUGUAUUGACUUGGUGUUGCUGGAAAUGGGAAAUUUGGGGGAUUUAGGGCGCGCCCUUUUUUGCGGCGUUUCCGUUAAAAACGCCAUUAUAGCUCAAAUUAUUUUGUGGAGUUUUACCUAAAAACGUCACUGUUACUUAAUUUUAAUUUUUUUUCAUUUUUAACAUAUUUUUUUAUUUUUUUCUUUCAAAAUUUUUGGGGUGAGAUUAUCAAUUUUUUAGAAUUUUUUUUAAUUUUGAAUAUUGAAGUUUUUAAUUGAAAUAUGAACUAAAAUAUUAAAUUUUAAAUUUUAAAAUUUUUUAUUUUUAAAAUUUUUAAUUUUAAAUUUUAAAUUUUUUUUGAAGAUUUUUAUAAUUUUUAAAUUAACAUAUAAAAUACAAAAGGAAACUUUAACAGAAAUAAAAUGGAAUCGAUGAAUUAAAAAAAUACAAAAUGACACUGCAAUACAAGCAUUAUUCUUUUAAAUAUGGUCCGCAUUAGUUGUUUACAUUUUUAUAUAAAUGGCAUUUAAUUAUAUGUACACACCUAAAUUUUGAAAGAGAUACAUCUCAGAAUUAUAUAUGAAUUUCGGUUUAAUGUGUAAUUGUAGACGUGAAAUUCUAAUUGUGGUUUAAAUGUAUAGUUGAAACUUUAAUUUUGAUUUAAUCAUACACAUUUUAAAAAAUAAAUACAUCAAUAUAUUUUUAUAUUGGAUAAAUAUAAAUAUUUAUGUCUGCAAUAUAUAAAUAUAAAAUGAUGUUAUAUCAAUAAUUGUGUUAAUAAUUUACAAGAACUGGAUCAAAUUAAAGUUCAUGUAUACAAUUGCACACUAAACCAUUGUUAGAAAAAGUAACAUUUACUGGGGAUUUUGGAUUUCGAAUUGGGGAGAAAAGGGUGAUUAUUUUAAGGAUUCGGAUUAGGGAAAAAGGAGAAAUUAUCUCUUACAUAAUUUAAACUAUAAUCACAAUUUUAAUAUAUUAAAAUUAAUAUUAUCUCUUUUACAAUUAUAUAAUAAAUUAUUUAAUAUAUAAAUUACAAACAUUAAUUAAUCUAAGGCUGUAAACCUCUACCCCUACCCCUUAAACCCUAAAUCAUAAACAUAAUCUCUAAACCCUAAAAACUUAACACUUAACCCCUAACCCCUAAGCCUUAACCCCCCAACCCUUAAACCAUAAACCAUAAUUCCUAAACACAUAAUCCAUAAACCUUAAAACCUUAAAAUAGUAACUCAUAAACUUUAAACCCUAAACUAUAAUGAUAAUUAAAUCAAUAUUUUAAAAUUAAUACUAUCUCUUUUAUAAUUAUAUAAGAAAAUAUUUAUCAUAUAAAUUAAAAAACAUUAAUUAAUCUAAACCCUAAACUCAUAAUCCCUAAACCCUAAAUCAUAAAUCCUAAAACAUAAGCCCUAAACCAUAAACAAUAACCUUAACCCUUAACCACUAACUCCUAACACCUAAACCUUAAACCCCAACCCUUAAACCACCCUUAAACCAUAAUCCAUAAACCUUGAAAUAGUAACUCAUAAACAUUAAACCCUUAACCAUAUACCAUAAACCCUAAACUAUAAUGAUAAUUAACUCAAUAUUUUAAUAUUAAUACUACCUCUUUUACAAUUAUAUAAGAAAGUAUUUAACAUAUAAAUUAAAAAAUAAUUAGUCAUAUACCAAAAAUCUUUAAAAUUAAUUUAAAUAAUAGUAUUUUAAUUUUUUUCAUUUUUUGUGGCAUUUUUCAAAAAGCGCCGCUAAAGCCACUAAAAGCUCAAUACAAAACGAUGGUGUAUUGCAAAAUUCUUUUUUGGCGUUUUUCAAAAAACGCCGCUAAAGGUGUACAUAUAGCGGCAUUUUUUAAAAAAGCGCCGCUAAUACUUGAUCUUUAUUGGCGUUUUUUAAAAGCACCGCUAAAGCCACUAAAAGCUCGACGGAGUUUUGCAAAAAAAUUUGGGGUGUUUUUUUGAAAAGCGUCGCUAAAGGUGUACUUAUAGCGGCGCUUUUUAAAAAAUGCCGCUAAUACUUGAUCUUUGGCAGCGUUUUUAAAAAGCGCCGCUAAAGCCACUAAAAGCUUAAUACAAAACGCGGAGUUUUGCAAAAUUCUUUUGUGGCGUUUUUUGAAAAACGCUGCUAAUGCUUAUUCUUUAGCGGUGUUUUUCAUUAAAACGCCGCUAAAAACCUUUUUUACUGUAGUGAGGCAAAGUUACUAUUACACAAAAGAAUGGAGAAAAGAAAUUUAUAUCAGAUGUUUAUUACGUACCAGCUUUGAAAAGCAACAUCAUCAGCCUUGGACAACUUCUAGAAAAAAGGAUAUGAAGAACAUAUGAAGAAUUGCAUGCUCGCCCUAUAAAAUAAGAGUGGUAAAUUAAUUGCCCAAGUUGAUAUGACACAUAACCAUCUAUUUACUAUUGACGUUGAAUCUGAAUAGGUGAAAUGCAUGAAGAAUGCAAUUAAAGAUGAAUUAUGGUUGUGGCAUUUAAGGUUUGGGCAUCUUAGAUUUUCCGGUCUGAAGCUAUUGUCAAAAGAAAUUAUGGUAAAUGGGUUGCCAGAAAUUAAUCCUCCUAAUCAACUGUGUGAAGCCUACAUUAAAAGAAAACAACCCAGACAGAGUUUUGAAACGAGAAAAACUCGAUGAGCCAGAAGACCAUUGGAGAUCGUGCACUUCGACAUAGCAGGUCCUUUUGAUAUACCAUCACUUGGUGGAAACAGGUACUAUGUUACUUUUAUUGAUAAUUUUAGUAGAAAAAUUUGGAUAUAUCUUCUUAAAACAAAAUCAGAAGCAUUUGACAAGUUUAUCAAAUUCAAAGCCAUGGUAGAAAAACAGAGUGAACAUUUCAUUAAGAUAUUCAAAACUAAUAGAGGUGGUGAGUAUACUUCAAAGCUAUUUGAAAGCUUCUGCAAGGAACAAGGAAUUAUUCACCAAUUGACAACUGCAUACACGCCAUAACAAAAUGGAGUCGCUAAAAGAAAGAAUCGCAUUAUUCUUGAUAUGGCAAGAAGCAUGGUUAAAGGUAAGCAUUUACUAAGAACUUUCUGGGCUGAAGCUGUUCAAUAUGUUGUUUAUUUGUUGAACCGAUGUCCAACAAGAAGUAUGAAAUACAAGACGUCAAACGAAGCUUAGAGUAAUCAAAAGCCAGGAGUCGGACAUCUCAAGAUUUUUGGAUACAUUGCAUAUGCUCAUGUGCUGACCAGACGAGAAAGAAGCUUGACGAUAAAGGAGUAAAAUGCAUUUUCAUUAGUUAUGAAAAGAGAAGUAAGGCAUAUAGGUUAUACAACCUUCUCACCAAGAAAGUUAUUAUUUCAAGAGAUGUUGAAUUCGAUGAAGUUGAUUAUUAGAGAUGGAGCGAAGAAGAGAAGAAAAUUAAAGGAUUAUUUUUCAGUGAUGACAAAGACAAUGAGUUCAUUAAUCAAGAACAAGGCGAUGAUCAAAGCCUUUCUCCAAGUCUUGUUACAACAACUCCUACAACAUCAUCAUCACCAACCAGCAGCAAUACCAACAACUUAGAGGAAGCACCUGCAAGAAUGCGUAGUUUACACAAUAUUUAUGAGGUUACAAAACCCAUAGAAACAAUACUCAAUUAUUCAUUAUUUUGUUUAAUGACAGAAUGUGAUCCAAUAAUAUAUGAAGAUGCAAUUAAAGAUGUCAUAUGGAAGAAGGCAAUGGAUGAAAAAAUUACAGCAAUAAAAUGAAAUGACACAUGAGAGCUAACCAGUCUACCAGAAGGACAUAGUCCAAUAGGAGUCAAAUGGGUGUAUAAGAUGAAGACCAAUAAAGAAGGAAAAAUGGAGAAAUACAAAGCAAGACUAGUUGCAAACGGCUACAAUCAAAGAUAUAGCGUAGAUUAUGAUGAAGUAUUUGCUCCAAUCGCCAGAAUUGAUACUAUAAGGCUUCUAAUGGCAAUUGCAGCAUAAAAUAAAUGGAAAAUUUAUCAGAUGGACGUGAAGUCAGCAUUCCUUAAUGACUACUUGGAAGAAGAAGUCUAUAUUGAACAACCACCUAGAUAUAGCAAACAAGGACAAGAAGACAAAGUUUAUCGCUUGAAGAAAGAUUUAUAUGGACUGAAGCAGGCUCUGAGAGCAUGGAACACAAGAAUAGAUGAAUACUUUCAGAAGAACAAGUUCAUGAAAAGCCCAUACGAGCAUGCUCUAUAUACGAAGAAAAAUGAAGUUGGUGACAUCAUGAUCGUGUGCUUAUAUGUGGAUGAUAUGAUUUUUACAGGAAACAAUCCAGGUUGAUUUUAAAAAAGCUAUGACUAAAGAAUUUGAAAUGACAAAUAUACUAAAGAAUUUGAAAUGACGGAUAUUGGUGAAAUGUCAUACAUUCUUGGAGUCGAAGUAAAACAAAUGAAAGAUGGUACAUUUGUGUCUCAAAAGAAGUAUGCAGAACAAAUUUUAAGCAAAAUUUAAUAUGAAAGAUUGCAAGCCAGUAGCCAUGCCAGCAGAACCAGGCAUGAAAUUAAGUGUUGAUUCAUCUAGAGAGCCAGUAAAUUCAACGUUAUUUAAAAGUAUCAUUGGAAGUUUAAGGUACUUGACUAUCACGCGGCCAGACAUCAUGUACGCAGUGGGAAUAGUUAACAGAUACGUGGAGAAACCAAAACAAGAUCACCUAAUUGCAGCAAAGAGAAUUUUGAGAUACAUCAAAGGUACGAUGGAUCAGGGUUUAUUCUAUACACACUCACAGAGUUCAAAAUUGGUUGGCUAUUCAGAUAGCAAUUAUGGUGGUGACUUGGAUGAUCGCAAAAGCACAUCCGGAUAUUUAUUCCAUAUUGGUUCCACAACAUUUUCAUGGUCAUCGAAAAAGUAACAAACAGUAGCCCUCUCAACAUGUGAAGCAGAAUACAUGGUUGUUGCAACAUGUACGUGUCAAGCAAUUUGGUUGAAGAAUAUUAUGGGUGAAUUAUCUAUUAUACAAGAAGGUCUAAUUACAAUUUAUGUUGACAACAAGUCCACAAUAUCUCUUGUAAAAAAUCCAGUGUCUCAUAGUUUAAGCAAGCAUAUUGAUACAAAGUAUCAUUUUAUUCGAGAGCAAGUGAAAAAUGAAAAUGUGGAGUUAGUUUACUGCAAAACAGAAGAUCAAUUGGUGAACAUUUUUACGAAGCCAUUGAAAGCAGACAUAUUCCAUAAACUCAAAGAAAAGCUUGGAGUGAAAAGUUCGGUUUGAGGGGGAGUAUUAGAAAACAAAUCGAUUUUUCAAAGUCAAAAAUUGCAGCCAAAGAAUUUCUAUCAAAAUUGGCCGGCAGAAAUGAUAAAGUUUAUCAAGCUAGAAAUUUUAUGAAAAGACAAGGAUGAUGGCAGCAGCUUUAAAAGUUUUACACGGCAAACAAAUUAGCUUGCAAGGUGGAUAGCAAGUUGUUAAGAAAUUGGUUAGCAACUUGGCUUAUUGGCAUGUACAAUGGAUAAGUAUUAUCAUUUAUGAUAUACCUAAGGGAUAAAGCAAUCAUUAAGGCGGUAAACUAUGUAUAUAUAUAUAUAUAUAUGUUUAGUUCAUGUGUGAGUGCUAGAAAAUGUUAGUGAGUUUGAGAGAAAAAAAAAAGUGUUGCGAGUUAUGGGAGGAAAAACUAGCAGCAGCUAGUAUAGAGAGAAAAAAAAGAGAGAGUAUGUAUUGUGUUUAUUUGUGUAAAAUAAAAAGAUAGUAUUUGAUUUAUUUUUAUUACACUUCCAACAGUUUCACAGGGACUAUGGAAACUUGUGCUAUUAGUGAAGAAGGGAUCACCGAUAUCCCAUUUAUUUUUUGCUAAUGAUCUUGUUCUUUUUGCGGAGGCUUUUUUAGAUCAAAUGCGAGUUAUUUUGCCCUUUUUUGGGGAACAAGAUCAGUGAAAAAAAAUUAUUUUUCUAAAAAUGUGGCAAUGCCUACCCAUGUUACUAUCAAUGAAGAGAAUGAUUAUAUAGUGGUUAAAGAUUUAGGGAAGUAUUUGGGAUGCCUUUGCUAUAAAAGAGUUACAAAUGCAACUUCCCAAUACCUGAUUGAGAAUAUGCGAUAAAAGUUAUAUGGUUGGAAGGCACGAAACCUCUCUCUUGCGAGUAGAAUUACAAUGGCCAAAGUUGUUUUAGCGGUUAUACCAAUUUAUGUGAUGCAGUCGAUGGUGGUUCCAAAAGGUAUUUGUUUGGGAAUGGAAAAUAAAAUGAUUCGGAAUUUUAUAUAGAAGAGAAAAAUUAGUCUUGUCAAUUGGAAAGGGAUAUGUUUACCCGUUGAGUAGGAGUAUGGGGUUUAAAAAGAAGUUUCAAAAUGGUGCUUUUUCUUAUGAAAUUGAGGUAUAAUUUAAUGAGAAAGGAUUGUAUGAAAUUGUGAUUUCAUACCAUUUCUAUCCCUUUUCAAUAAAAGAAUGACAAAUUAGAUUUUUCCUCCUGAUUUUAAACAGUUUUAGUUAAAUUUAAAUUUUUUCACGAGAAAAAAGCUGAAAGUAAAAAAAAAUAUGAUUUGUCAUUCUUCUAAGGUAAAGAAAUAAGGAUGGCGUGGAAUAAAAAAUAUGAUUUAUUAUUUUUCUAUGAGAAAAAAAUAAGGAUGACGUGGAAUUAGAGUUUUAUACAAACUUUCUCAUAAUUUAAUAGAUCAGCAGGAUUGGGUUCAAGUGAUGCGCACAAAAUCUAUGUACGAAGUCAUGGCCUCCAAUUUGGAGAGGGAUUGCAAAUGUUUGAGACGUGGUUCGGAAUGGACUGACUUGGAGCAUAGGCAAUGGCAGUAGUGUAGAUUUUUGGCGUGACCCAUGGAUUACGGAGAUUAGCCCCUUAAUCAAUCAAAGUUAGAAGCCAGACGAGAUUCCCGCUCAAAGAGUAGCUAUUGAACAGAUGGUCAACUCAAGUGGAUAUUGGAAUUGGGGACUGUUUGCGCGACUGUUACCUCAAGUCAGUUUUGGCUAGAAUCGCUAGCCAAAGGCCACCUCUCGCUUGGGAUGUUGAUGAUUUCCUUGGUCGGCGUUGGAACAAAGGGAGGGGUUUUACUUCGAGAUCAGCUUAUGAUGCUUUGCUGGAUCUGAAUGGGGAACCGACUGACCCGAAAUGGAGCAAGCUUUGGAGGUUCAAGGGCCCUCAAAGAAUUAAAACAUUUAUUUGGCUCGCGGCUUCGGGUAAUUUGCUGACAAAUGUAAACCGGAUGGGGAGGCUCAUGACGGAUAGUGGGCUGUGUCAAUUAUGUGGUGAAGAUGAUGAAGACAUCGACCAUGUGCUUCGGGGAUGCUAUCCGACAGCCUUUUGAAGUGGUCUUAUGGAAGCUGGUAAAUUGAAUGAGUUCCUUACCAUGAAUAUUGAGGAUUGGAUCUUCACAAAUGUGCUUGAUCCAUUACAUUUUGUAGAGUUCGAUAAUGAUUGGGACACUAGAUUUGGGUUUUUACUAUGGCUAUUAUGGUAGAAAAGGAAUGAUUUUGUGGAAUGGGAACCAAUUUUGCGGCAAGCAAAUCGGUUAACAAUGGAGAUCAAUAGGGCGCGAGCUAGCCAGGUAAUUGGUACUGCUACUAAAUCGAGAAUUCAGUCACUUGUUUGCUGGGAAAAACCGAGAAUAUGGGUGGAUCAAGGUUAACAAGGAUGGCGCAAGGAAAUUUGCAACGGGUGCAGCUGCAGCGGAAGGGGUGUUUCGAGACAGUAAUGAUCACUGGGUAAUGGGUUUUGCUAUGAAUAUUGGCACGUGUAUGGCUAUGGAAGUAGAACUUUGGGGAGCCUUGGAGGGGUUGCAACAAGCAAGGAAGAUGAUCGGGCGAUCGACUAAGAUCAGAUGGAUAAUUCACAGGCAAUAUCUCUGCGGUCCAAAGGGAAGGGUUUGAAUCACUUUUUUGGAUAAGAUCAUGGAACAUAGUAUUUGGAUACCAUCAUUGUCUCUCUUGCCUUGAGUCAAAUUUUAAUUUCAAAAAGAUUUUGAAAUUCAAGCUUAGUUUGUUAAUAUGCUCAAAUAGCAAGUUUUACUAUUAAAAACAAUAAAAAUAUUUUUAUUUAAAUUUAAUUAUGAAAUAUAUAAAUAUUAGUAUGAUUUUUAAACCGUAAAAUAAAUUGGACAGAAGUUAAAAAAAUAUAAAUUCAAGCCUGAGUUAAAGUCAAUUGGGUUAUGUAGUCUACUUAAUCCAUAAAUACUUCUACUUCUUACUAAUCACUAUGUCGCGCCUACUUUGAUUUCACAUUUCUGUAAAAUAUAUACACAAAUCGUUUUCGGAUUAUAAUUAGAACCCCCUUUUUUUGGACCCAUCUCACAUCGAUGACUCAACCCCUCCCACCUAUAGGUAAUUUUAGACAAGUCUCCUUUGAAGUAGAUACCUGAAUCCCAAGUAUGAUCUGUAAUAAUCUAUCUUCUGGAGUAUACGAUAUUUCUUUCUCCACCUAAGGUGUUAAUUUAUCUAUUAAAAUGUCGCCCAUCUCAACUCAAGAUCCCAGCAUCACAAUUUCAUUUUUGUCUAAAUUUCAAAGUAAAUGGGCUUCUAAGUGCAGUAUUUCAUUAGUGAUUCUUUCAGGACCUUAACUUAUCAUAUGAGUCUGAAUUUCAUAUUUUUCGUAUGUGAAAAAAAAUAUAAAUAUACUCAUAUACUAGACGCUAGCUCCUGAAAAAUUUGAAGCUUCAAUUAAAUGUUGCAAUUCUUUUUUAAGUUUAGCCAUAUAUUAUUAUCUAAUACAACUUUAAUCACCAUUUACAAAUAUGCUUUUCAUAAUUUAUGGAUGAGUCAUACACAUUUAAAUGAUGAUAAUUAGUUUAUUGAAAUAAAAAAUAAAAGAAAAAAGAUUUUCACUCCCAUCCACUUUAGACCGAGAAAGAAUUCCUCCCCUUGAAAAAAAGGGUUCACAUUUAUAGCUUUACAUUUGGAUGAUCUCGUUUACAUUUGUGAGAGAUUUUGGACUAAAUCUGAAUGGGCUGUUUCGAACGAGGAUUAGGUGACAAAUACGACCUUUUAUGUCCCUCAUCAUAAAGUUCCAACACUUGAUUAAUUAAUUAAAUUUGUCAAAAAAGUGAUUAUUCUCUCCUACAUGUUUAAACCCCAUUUUUUAAUAUUUUAUUUGUUGAUUUUAGAUGUUUGAAUGUUUUCGAGUAAGUGGAGGCGAAAUGAGCAAAGUCCAUCACCAUAAAGCCGAAAGAGUUGAUUUAGUUAAAGGCCAAAUUAUUAUUCUUCAAAGAAAAAAGAUAAAAAGUAAGCAGUUCAACACUAAAAUAAUAAAAUUACAACUUCCAAUUAUCUAUAUCUAUAAUAUUAUUUAAGAUUUUGAUUGAGUUAAUUUCAUCUUUUAACUAAGUUUCAACUCAAUUGACACUGUUUUUCUUGAUACAAUGUCUAGAAGUACUUAUAGCGUCUUCCCAACUCAUAAAUAAAAAGAUAAUACGUUUCAGCGCACUUAAACUCAUGUCAUCCUGAAUUAAUAAUAAUACUUAUACCAAUAAAACUAAAACUGAAUUUACACUAACCUAACAAAACAAAUUAAUACAACUCAACUUGUAUUUGAUUUAACUCCAACUUAAAUCGAGGUCAAUCUUACUAGUGACUGAAGUCUAUGAGUUAAUAUUCGCUCACCAACAUUUUAAUGUUAAUUCCUUUCUUUCCAACAUAUUGACUUAUUCAUAUGUUUCAUAUCGCUAAGUCAAAAACGUGGUUUUUACGUUUUCAAAAACCCACCAUUUUCAACUCCCUCAAAUUUUAUUACUCUUUUCAACUUUACAAGUUUACAAAGGUCAAAUAUGCGAUUGGGUCCCAAAAUCCCCCCCACACCACCUUUUUAUAUAUAUACAUGUGUAACUCUAUUGUAACCCAUAUAUCUCAAAUUUUGAACCAAAUUGAAAGAGAAGAAAAAUGGGUUCUAACAAUAUGAUCCAAGUUAUUAAUCUCCUUUUCAUCUUCAUAUUUUUUCUAUUGCUCUCAAAUUCUUUGCAUGUUGAGGGCUCAAGGUUCUUAAAAGAUCAUCAAGGGGUUCCAUCUUCUUCUUUUUCUUCGAUUUCCUAUAUAAAGCGCUUUAGUAUAAGCAUAGCUUACUCCGGUCCUAGCCGUCGUGGAGCUGGUCAUUGACUGAUGCCGAUGUGUUUCGUGUUAAACAUUAUUUUCCCAUCACCAAGGUCAUUGGGUCACAAGGUUCAGUCAAGUAGCUAGCUUUUAAUAUUUGAUGAAGGAGAUCAUAUGAGGUAACCCUAGCAGCCAUGUUCAUGCAUGCGCUAAGGACUCAGCACCUUCAUGAUGGUGUGUGUGUGUGUGUUUUGUCCUAAGAAAGGGCAAGUCAUAGAGUUGAAUUUUUUUGGUUUUUUGUUUAAAUUUCUUUUAGCAUUUUUUCUAUGCUUGCUACAAGAUAUAAAUAUGUAAUAUAUUUAAUGUUUAUGUAAUGUAAAUGAUUUUUUUAUCAGACAAAUGAAUGUAGUGCUUGAAUUUCUAUUCCUCUCUUACUUAAUUUUGGAUUGCCCAUAUUAUGAUCGCUUAUAUAAAUUUAUUACUUCUUGCUGCCUAAGAUUGAUUGAGGAUUAUCAAUAUUGAAGCUCCAAUAUUUUAUCAAUGAAUUAUUUUUACUGUAGAUGAUUAUAUAUAUAUAUAUUUAAUUAAUCAUUCUCCAUACUAUAAUUUUUUUUUUUACUCUUUAGCCUAGUUGAUAUUGUUGCAAUUGUAGCAACCAGAAAAGUAUAAGUUCAAACGUAUUUUUCCUUCAAUUUAAAUGUUGGGGAGGGAUUCUAAGUAAAAAAAAAAUUACACAUUAUUUAUUUAUUUAAUGAAUCAUUUAUUCAAAUUUAAACAUGAAAAAAUAUAUACACAUACAUAUUAAAAUAAAAAAUAAAUUAUGAAAAGUAAAAAAGAUAGAUAAUAUGUUAUGUCGAUUAAUUUAUUUGGUUAAAAAGAUGAGAAAAUAGAAAAAAAAAUAUUUUUUUCUAUAAAUUGUUUGAUAAAGUUGAAAAAUGAAAGGAUAUAAAAUGAAUUUAUCUUUUAAAAUGCAUAAUCUUAUAAAUAUGUACGCUUAACAUACAUUUCUUCACCCAUCGUUACAACUAAAAAAAUAUAUAGAUUCAAGCGUGAUUAAAUACAUAUUACUCUUUUGGGGUUUUUUCAAUUCGCCUCAAACGCUUUGAAUGUUGAGGCUGAAGGUUCUUAAAAGAUCAUCAAAGGGCUUCUUCUUCUUCUUUUUCGAUUUCAGAUAUAAAGGGCUCUAGUAUAAACAUAGCUUACUCCGCUCCUAGCUGCUGCGGAGGCGACCAUUGGCGGAAGCUGACAUCUUUCGUGUUAAAUACUAUUUUCCCAUCACAAAGUCAUUGGGUCACAAGGUUCAAUGAAGUAGCUAAGUUUUUAGUAUUGAUGAAGGGGAUCAUAUUAGGUAACCUAGCAGCCAAGUUCAUGCAUGCCCUAAGGACUAAGCACCUUCAUAAUGGUGUAUUUUUUUUUAUCCUAAGAGGGCAAGUCAUAGAGUUGAAAAAAAAUUGUUUAACUUUUUUCCAUGCUUGCAACACAAUGUAUAUAUAGGUAAAAUUUCAUGAAAGUCCCUGUAUUAAGAGUUAGAUUGUAUUUUACCCCUCUACUAAAAAUGGACAAAUUAAUCCAUGUGCAUUAAAUAAAAGAGUAAAUCGGUCUUUUUUUAUUAAAAAUUUCAUUCAUUUGUACUAUUAAAAACUGAUAUGACUAACGGAAUAACCAGACAAGGACACACGACAUUCCAUAUGUACCUCAUGUUGAUCUACAAAGACCAAUUUUUAACGGAAUAAUAUUAUGUUGUUGGUUUACUUAUUGAUGCUAAAGAUUGAUCCAAGAUUUAUCAAUAUUAAACGUCUAAUACUUUAUCAAUGAAUUAUACGUGUGAAUCAGCAAGGACCACCUUGCAAGGCUAAAUACUCCUGGGUGACUGAUAGCGAAGUAGUACCGUGAGGGAAGGGCGGAAAGAAUCCCUAUUGGGGAGUGAAAUAGAACAUGAAACCGUAAGCUCCCAAGCAAUGGGAGAGGCCCAGGGCUCUGACUGCAUGCCUGUUGAAGAAUGAGCCAACGACUCAUAGGUAGUGGCUUGGUUAAUGAAACCCACUGGAGCCGUAGCGAAAGCAAGACGUGAAUUCAAGCACGAUUCUCCAAUUUAAGGGUAAGGGGUUUUAUGGAUAGCACUAGAAAUCAUAUAAAAAAAACUUACAUUUCUCUUAUUUUGAUCUAAUUAUAAAUUUCAUCCCUCUACUUUAUAGAAAUUGAGAAAUCAGUCCAUCUACUUAUUGAAAAAAUUAAUCCAAUAAGAUAAUAUCGUUUACUUGAAAUCAUUAGCUAGAAAAUCAUCAAAUCAAUAAGGUCAGCCACUUGAUAAUAGAGUUGAUUUUUGUUUUUUCAAAUGUCUUUCCAUGCUUGCUACAAGAUGUAUAUUACGUAAUGUAAAUGGAUUUUUUAUCGAAUGUAAUGUUUGAAUUUCUAAUCCUCCUAAUGUUGGAUUUUUUAUCUUAAUAUAUUAUGAUGAUUUGCACAAAUAUUAAGAUAUUCAUUUUUUUCUCAAUCUUGCACACAUAUAUAAAUACAAAUUAUAUCAAGCACAUGUCACGCAUGUGUAGAUAAUCAAUACUAUUUUUUGAAAUCGUAAACGUAUGCAAUCAUUUUUUUUAUCAUCUUGUGUUGUCAAGGGUACCUUAUUAUAAUAAGUUCAUACAAGUUAGUACCACUAUGUCACUUAAAUAUUUAAUAAUAGUUAAUGUAACAUUGUUAUACAUAAUUUUUUUUUAUAAUUAAAAUUGAAUUGUUUAUUUUGGUGUUUAUAUAUAAUGUAUGAUAAUAAAUUUAGUCCUCAAUCUUUAUAUAUUUAUUCAAUUUGACUCCUACUCUAUUAGAAAAUUUUAAAAUUAAUAAGGCUAAAGAGUCAAAAAGGCCUUAGUAAAAAAUCUAAAAAAAAACCAAUUAAACCCUUUUAAAUUAUAAACAAAAUUUAUAAAAAAAAAUUUAAAUUUAAAUUUUUUUAUUAAAACAUAAUAAUAAUGACCUAACAAUUUUUUUUUCAAAAUCACCAUUAGAUUUUAAUGGGUUAAUAUUGUUUUCUUUUUAAUAAGAAUUUUAUAAAUUUAAAAUUAUUAUAACUUUUUUUAUAAAUUUUGUUAAUAAUUUUAUGGGUUUUUUAAUAAUUUUAAAAUUUUAAAAGGGCUUAAUUAAUUUUUUUUUUAAAAUUUGUUACCAAGGCCUUUUUGACUCUUUAGCCUUUUAAGUUAAAAAGCUUUCCAAUUUAUUUUCAAUAAAAUAGUAGGGGUCAAAUUAAAUAAAUGUAUAAAGGUUGAGGGCUAAAUUUGUUAUUAUACCUUAUAUAUACAUCAAAUUUUAAUGGUAGGUUGUUUUGCUCACUCAUCUAACAUAAACCUGAUCAUUAGCUAGGUCCCCCGAAAACUGGGAGGGUUUGGGCAAAAAUAUAGGUCCGAAAAAUGGGCCUAGGCAAAAAAAUAAGGCUCAUUAAUUUAGAAAAUGAACUGGGCUUCAGAUAAGCUUUUUACACUGUUUUGUUGUCAUUUCACUAUUAUAUUGCUAUUAUUUUGUUGUUAUUGUUUAGAGAUUAUAUAACUCUUGUUUUAUUGUUAAUUUUGCUAUUAUUUUAGAGGCAUUUGCUUGUUAAAUUGCACCUAUCUUAAUGUUAUUUAAGUAUAAAAAAUUUUAAAUUUAUUUUUAAUUUGUUGGGAAACAUUUAUUUUAAUGUUUUUAGUGUAUUUCAUGUAUUAUAUUUUUAAAAUUUAUUUAUAUAUAAAAAAUAAUAUAAAAAAUUUAAUACGGGCAAACCAAGCUCGGGUUUUAGCUUUUUUUUUAUUAUCUGGGAUGGGACAAAAAUUUAGGCCCAAUUUUCGGGUUGAGCCCGAGCCUAUCAAACAAGCUUGAAUUUUUGUUACAGUCCAGCUCAGUUCAGCCCAUGAUCACCUCUAAUCUAACAUACAUGGGCUAAUUUGUCCUUUUUUCUAUAGAGGGACUAAAAUGUAAUCUAUGAUAUAGUAUAGGGGGUUUUGUGGUACUUUUACCCUCAAUUGGUGUCGUUGUUGUUGCAACUACAAGGAAGAUGUUGGUUCUAAGUCUAUUUAAACAUGUAUUAUCCCUUUUUAUGAAAGCAUGCAAGUAUUAUUUUUUGAUUUAAGGGUUGGAGGGGUUUGUGAGCAAUGGUAGGAAUUGUAUAAAAAAAAGGGUUAAAUAAUUUUUUUGGUCUUGAACUUGGUAAUUUUUCUUUCACAUUGAGGCUUGAACUUUUUUUUGUCCAAGUUAGGCCUUGAACUUAGCAAUUGUUUCCACAUUGGGGCUUAUACUUUUUUUUUCCAAGUUAGUGCUUGAAAAGCUUAGAGUUCAGGCCCUAAUAUGGGAACAAUUAUUAAGUUCAGGCCCCAAUAUGGGAACAAUUGUCAAGUCUAAGGACUAAUUUGGACAAAAAAGGUUUAAACCCUAAUAUGAAAAUAGUUGUCUAGUUGCCCAAUGUGGGAACAAUUGUUAAGUUUAGGGCCUAACUUGGACAAAAAAAAGUUUAAACCCUAAUGUGAAAAAAAUUAUCAAGUUUAGACCCAAAUAAUGAUUUAACUCUUAGCAAACUUACAUAUCUCUUAUUUUGAUCUAAUUAUGAGUUUCAUCCCCUACUUUAUAAAACUUGAGAAGUUAGCCCAUCCAUUUUAAUUUUUCAAAAUUUAAUCUUUGUACUUGAUGACACGAAGAAAUUAGUCUAAUAGGGUAAUUCUGUUAAAUUUUACUUUUAAAUCAUUGAUUUGGAAAUAAUCAACUGAAUAACUUAAAUACAAGAAAUUAGUAAAAAUAAAGUAGCCUAGCAAUUUAUAUGCAACAAAUUAGCGAAAAUAACCAUUCAAAUUCACGUGUUUGUUAAUAACUUGACUAACGUCACAAUUUUCAUGAAAUAUGAGUAUCAAAUUUUAAAAAUUAAAAUAUAUAAAUUAACUUCUCAAUUUUGUACUUUGAAAAAAUUUACAGUUGGACUCAAUUAUUUUCUCUUUUUUUUUUCAUUCCAAUUUGGAUAAUUAUUUUAUCACUAAGCAUUAUAAAACAAUCAUCUUUAUUAUUUUCUCUUUUAUUUUUUUUUUUUGGUGAAUUACAAGAUGAGGGCAAAGUUCUAACAGCAUCGCAACUAACAUGACUCGAACCCAAAUUACACCUAAAGCGAUGAACACUCUAAUCAUCAAACUAAUACACGGGUUCAUUAUUUUCUCUUCUUAAUACACCCAUUUUCCACACUUCUGGCUCAUCUAUUUCCAUCUUUUCAUUUUACCAAAAAGACCUUUUUAAGUUUAAACUCUACAUUCAAAGUCAUAAUUUUGACUUUUGAAUUAUUUGUGUAGUUUAAUAAAUUUUUUUUCUUCUUUAAAAGAAAGGACCCAUUUGAUAAAACUUCUACUUUCUAUCUUUUAUACAAAAUUAGAAUGGAAAUUAUAAUAAUAAAAAUAAUAACAAUAAUAAUAAUAAUAAUAAAACUUAUGAAAUGGAGUCUAAACUAAAUCUUCCUUUGAAUUGAACGUGAUUUCUUUUUUGCUUUGGUCAAAAUAACUUAAUUAUAUACACCCAAUAAGAAGUAAGAACACUCUACUAUUUAUAUAUUUCUAAUAGUUGCUGCCUGGAAUGGUUUUCUUUGAAUUUCAACACUUCUUUUAUAUAAUAAUUAGUAUAGUUUCUACGCACGUUCCGUGUUAAGAUAAUUAUUUUUCGGUUUAAGGGUAUAAAAGGUUUUUAAAUUUUUUCAAAAGAAACAAUUAAGUCACUGCUUUUUUUUCUGCAUUUAAUUGAGUAUUUGAAUUUUUAAAAUGUAUUAAAAAAAUCAUUUGACCAUUAAUUUUAACAGUUAACCCUUAAAAUUAACUGUACAUAAUUUUGAUAUUUGUCGGGUGUCAUGUAAGGAUGGUCCUAAUUUUGAUAUUUAAGGGCUUUAAUAAUUUGUAUCACAAGUCAAUAAGAUAGGGGCAAUUUUAGAGAGGCUUGGCUUCCCUCAAAUGGAAUAAUUACCUUUUAGUCCCUCUAAUAAAUGAUAAAAUUAAAAAAUAUUUUAUAUAAAAUUAUAUUUUAACCCUUCAAAAUAAAAAUAUUUUUAUUUAGUCCUUUUAAAAGUGAUUAAAUCAUAAAUUAUCACAAAAAAAUUAAUUUAAUUUCGACUCCCUAAUUUUUUUUGACCAAUUUAGUUUAAAAUGAUUUAUUUUUUUAUAAAUAAUAAAUACUACAAUGAGGGUUUUUUUAUUUUUAUAUAAAAUUUAUAAAAAUAUUAAUUUAAACAUGAAAUAAGUUUAAAAUAAUACUUACAGGGAUUUAAAUAUAAGACACAUUGGUAUCUAAAAACUCAUUCUUACCCUUUCAAAGCUUCAUUUAAAUAUAUAUUUCUUGAAACAUUCUUUCUUGUUUGCUUUUUCUUUGAAAAGAAUAAUAAGAUGCAUUAAAAUAUUUGGGAUGAUUAAUGCUUCCACACCAACACCCAACAACUUUUCCCCUUUUUAAUAUAUAUAAGAUGGUCAAACAAUUUACUGUACUAAAUGUAAUUUCACAUUUAUUAUUUAGAUUUUAAUUAAAUAAUGCAUUUUUAAAAAAUUAAUUUCUAUGAUCAAUUAGCUAAAAUGUUUAAGAGGAUAAGAAAAAAACAUAAUUUUUAUAUUCAAGUUAUAAUUUUUAGUUCGUGUGUAAAUGGAAUGAAUGGUUAAUAAAUUUGUAUGUAAAUUUAAGUGUAACAAUAUAUAUAUAAUAUAUAUUUUAAUUUUAAUUUUAAUUUUUUUAUUAAAUUGGUGUUACGGGUUAAUCGGAUAUUAAUUAAAUUAAAAAUUAUUGAAAUAUCUUUUGAUAUACAAAAUAAGUUAUACUAUUAUGAAGGUGUUUCUUCUGUCUUUUUUUUAUUUUAUUUUAAAUAAAAUCAAUAAAAAUAUCACUUAUAAUAAAAUUUAAAUCCUUAACAUUAACAUGUAUAAAGCAUUAACUUUACCACUUCAAUUAAAAUUUUGUUAUAUAACUAUAAAAAAAUAUAUAAGAACCCGACUCGAGAUCUGAUCAAAUUAUCUAACUUGAAAUAUCCAUAGUUUAAGUAACAUCAAACACUUCAUUUAAGGGGGCUUCUUCUCUAUUUUCUAGAUCAGACCACUAUCUCUUCCAUCUUGACCUCCAAUUUUAACCUUUAUUGAUAUAGUGUAUCAAUAAAUUUUAUUUUAAUUUUUAUAAAAAAAUAAUAAAUAUUGGCAAAAAAAAAUUGAAUUCAAGAGCUCACAUCAUGUUAUAUUGAUUAUCCCAAAACUUGAAUUGAUUAAAAAAAAAACAGUCAGAAAUAUCAAGAAAGACUUGGUAUAAAAUGGACUAUCAUCGAGCACUAUUCAAAUUUCAAAGUCAACUCUUUUAUUUUCGCCCUUUUUUUUGUUUUAAAAAUUGAGAAAAAAAAAAGAAUAGGAAAAAGGGGUGGGAACAACAUAUAUUAUAAAAUAUAUUUGGGUCUUCAGUGAUCUAUGAUAAACAAACGACUAUAAUACAAGUGGACCGACCAACAUACCAUACAUAGCAGCUUUUUUUGGGGGGUUAAAAAUAUAUUGCAGUUUGAUAAAAUUUUAAUUUUAUACUUAAAAAAAUUUUUAUUUAAAAAUUCAGUACAAUUAUUAAAAACGUAAAUAUUUUUUUGUUAAUAUUUGUCAAUUUAAUAUGUUGAUUAGACUGUUCUCUUGUGAUGAGGCAUAUGAUUAAUAAAAAUAAAUAUGUUAAAUUGAUAAAUUUUUAUGGAAACUACCAACGAUAGUAAUGAUUUGAUUAGAAUUUUUUUUGAGUUUUAAAGUACAUAGACUAAGUCUCAAAUUUUAUCAAAAUAUAAGAACUAAAGUCAUAUUUUAACCCUUUUUUUCAGUUGCAUACCAUACUAGCUUUUACUAAAUGCAACUUUGAUUUAAAUGGUAAAAUUGAGGGUUUUUUACCUCAAUAUUAUAAAAAAAAAGUUAUACACCAAAAUAGAUUGUCAGCCAGAUUAAUUACGAAAAUAGUAUGUUUUUUUAGGUCGUACCUAUCUGACAGGCACAACCGAUUUUUUUAAUAUUAAAUUUUUUUAUCGUUUAAAAAAUUAUUAUAUAUAUUUUAUUUUUCGAGUUAGUAUACAACCCGUGUAUAUGGAAGCAUACAUACAUAUUGUGCCUUCCUGACAGGCUCAACUAGUUGAGCCUAUCUGACAGGCACGACUAGUUGUGCCUUCUUGGUAGGCACAACUGGUGGGGCCCACAUGAAGGCACAAUUGGUGGGGCCCACAUGCUUAAUUUUUCCCUAUAUACUCCCCCGAAAAUCAGAUGAAGAACAUACAGAAAAUUUAGCAGCAAAAUAGAAGUAAGAAGAGAGUGAGAAGAAGGAAAGAAAGAAAAGCAAGAAGAAGGAUAAGGUAUCUUAAUUUAUUUAUUUUUAAAUAGAAUGUAGAAUUUUGUUAGAAAUUUUAUUAUUUAAAAGUUUGUUAGAUUAAUAAUUUUGUUAGCUUCUGAAUGAAAAAUUUUGCAUUAAAAAUUUUAUGUAACUUUUUUGCUAUUCGAAACUAUUUUGAGAAUUUUGAAAUUUUUUUAACAGAUCUAGUAUUGAAUAUGGAGAAUCAGUUUUUCGUAUGCGUUUAUUUUGAUGGAGAAAUAUUGACAACAAGCUAGGAUGUAUAUUUGAAUGUCGCAAACAAGUAGCAAUGAGAUUCAAUAGAAAUAUCUCUUUUGAUGAUAUGAAGGAAAAAAUUAGUGAAAAAAUUUAUAAACGUUGUGGGAGAAGGAUCUCGAAACUUUUCUACAAGUUCCCAGUUUCACGGAUCCUAUAAAAUUCACCGAAAUGGAACUUGUAGACGAUGAAAACGUGGAGACAAUGGUCUCUUUAUUGUGGGACUUGGAGCAAUCAAAAUGCACCGAUUCAGUUAUUUGCUGAGUUAGCUGGUAUGGAGGAAACUGAAGAUGCCACUUCAUUAGGUGAAGAAGAUGGAGUUCAAGAACCGUGUAUGGUGGUUCCGGUAUCAUACGUUGGUAGUCAAUCAACUAUACAUGGGAUCGACAUUGAUCUUAAUACUGCACUCGAGACUGCUGUGGUUGGUGAUGAUGUAUACCAUAGUAGUGAUCCUUCUGAUCAUGAAGUCGAUAGUGAAAGUGAUCCCGACGUGGAUGAGGUCCCGGAUGAUAUUGACGAUGAAGGCGUGAAUGAGGAAGUAAAUGUUAAUGCGUCUUCAGUCGGGAACCAGAUUCGUCGUAUUGUGAUACAUAAUAAUCUUGGGGUACACAUGUCUCAGAUAGACCCCGAUGCGGCGCAUGUAGCCGAGUUCCCAGAGUACCCUGAAAUAUAAUCUGCUCAUCGGAUGGCCGUAUAUUCUGAUCAUGAGGAGUUGUUCGUGGGCCAAAGAUUCGAAAAUAAGGAAGAGUGCGUAUUUGCCAUUAAACGGUAUAGUAUGAAUAUAUCAGUGGACUAUAAAGUCGUUGUGUCUAAACCGACAUUAUAUAUUGGAGAGUGUUGGAAGUCAGCGGAAUGCUGCAAUUGGCAGAUACGAGCUGUAUUUAUCCAAAAGUCGCAGAUGUGGGAGAUACGAAAAUUUGUUGGGCCUCACACAUGCACUUCAUCACGUAUGACAGAAGAUCAUCGAAAACUUGAUUCCAAAACUAUCUGUACGUGCAUCAUGCCAAUGAUUGAAGACAUGCCGACCAAUAAGGUUUCGGUACUGAUUGCCGAAAUACAGGCACGAUUUCAGUAUCGAGUGUCAUACCGGAAGGCAUGGAUAGCUAAACAGAUGGUAAUGGAGCAAUUGUACGGAGAUUUCGAUGCAUCAUAUAAUGAGUUACAGGGAUGGAUUGCCGCUAUGAGGGAGUACGUACCAGGGACUGCCAUUGAGUUGCAAACACGACCAUAUUAUGGCCCGGAUGAGCAACUACAACCGAGAAAAAGAAUUUUCCAACGGAUGUUCUGGACGUUUGAUCCAUGUGUACGUGCAUUUCCCCACUGCAAGCCGUUUGUGCAAGUAGAUGGGACAUGGCUAUACGGUAAAUAUACACAGAUUUUACUUCUUGCGAUUGCUCAGGACGGGAACAAUAACGUACUCCCGGUUGCGUUUGCCAUCGUAGAUAAAGAGAAUAUGAAGUCGUGGGAAUUCUUCCUUACAAACCUGCGGAGGUAUGUUGUUAGUAAUGAUAGUAUUUGCAUCAUCUCCGAUAGAGGGAAAGGAUUAAUUGCUGCCAUUAGGCGUUCUGGUGUGCCAUGGAGAUCUGUUUACUGCAUACGGCACAUUGCGUCUAACUUUCAUCGAGAUUAUAAGAAUGCAGACUAGAAGAGACAAGUUGUGAAAAUGGGUAAAGAAUAACAUUAUCCUUUCAAUAUAUAACCUAAUGUUUUAUGAUGAGACUGUAACUUAUAUUUUCUUAAAACAUACACAGCGUAUGAGCUUGAGCCACACAUUUUUCGGCAAAGGAUGACUCGACUUGAGAAUGACAUGGAAGGUUAAACGAACACAUCUUUCCGACAAUGGUUAGGUACCAUGGAGCCCUGGCAAUAGGUUCAAAGUUUUGACGAGGGCUUUUGUUACGGUCAAAUGACCACAAACUUGGUGGAGGGCAUCAACGCUGUGUUAUUAAAAACACGACAUCUUCCGAUUUCAUCUGUCUUCUCGGCUACAUUCUACAAGUUGGCUACCUUGAUGCCAAGAAUGGGUCAGCAACAAGUCAACCAGAUAGAGGCAGGACACGUGUUUGUCGAAUAUGUCAGGGAUGCAAUGGUUGCAAAUCGUCGGAUGGCGAGGUCGAUGAAUGUAGAAGUAUAUUCACGACGUAAUGAAACAUUUCGCGUUACAGAGACCAUCGGUCGUCGACCCGGUAUACCACCUAGGUCCUGCGGAGUUGAUCUCUGAAAUAAACGGUGCGAUUGUAGGAGGUUCCAAACACUUCAUUAUCCUUGUGCACAUGUUGUAACAGCUUGUGCUAAAGUCUCGCUCAAUGUAAAUCAAUUUAUCGAUGAAGUGUAUACCCUCGAACGCACGUUGCGUGUAUAGGAGAAUGAGUUUCCCGUACUUCUUGACCUAUCUACUUGGGAGGUUCCUCCGACGACAUUCGAGCUUGUCCCAGACAAAGGGUUACGUAGGAACCCAAAAGGUUGUCCGCAAUCAUCUAGAAUCCGUAACGAAAUGGACAUUAGAGAGAAAUCCGAUAGGAAGUUGUGUGGAGUUUGCAGAUUACCAGGUCAUAAUCGGAAUAAAUGCCCGCUCCGAAACUACCAUAUUGGACAAUCGUCGCGUUCAGAUAGAAAUUAAGAUUUUGUUAAUUACAUGUUGGAAGAAAAAGUCCCGCCGAGUAGUAUUAAAUGGAUUUUUUAAGCAUUUUAAAAUUGAUUGUUUUUAAUACUCCUCUUUUUUUGCAAUUAUGUACUUCAACCCAAGCAAAUCCAAAAUUCGCCUUCGAAGCACAUGUUUAUAUACAAUUUACAUACUUACUCCGGGUGAAGCAUGACUAUUUGUGUUCAUACAUACUUAACUCGGAUUUAUUAUGUAUUUCAUUUACUAUUAUAAUAACGUUCUUCAACCGGGGGAAUGAUAAUUAUCCUUUGUAAUUAAAUGAUAAAAAACUCAUUACAUAAAUAGUCAUUACAUAAUUUGCCAAAAAUAAAUUAAAUUUAUAAAUAAAAUGCCAAAAAAUUUAUUACAUAAAAAAGGAAGUUAUUUAUAUUACAAAACCCCCUAAAAUUGAUGGUUUGAUUGUGUGGUUCUAGGGGUAUAUUUUUGUGGAGCCCGACGUUCACGUUGCGGACGACUACGACAAUCAACGUUCUCUUCAUCUGUAUGUAGGGGUGUGUGAAACAUAGACGAAAAAUCAUAUGUCUCAAACGCCAUCGAUGAACUUGAGCCGAGAGGAGUAGAAUAUGGAGGUGGAUAUGGGCUGGGAGGAGUAGAGUACAGCGGUGGAUACGGCUCUGGAGGAGUUGAGUAUAUAGGUGGAUACAGGCCGGAAGGAGUAGAGUACUGAGAUAAAUAUGAGCCGGGAUGACUGGAGUACUGAGGUGGUAGUGGGCUGAAGAUAUCAAACUCUGAAUGAUAUCCGUGGCCUGAGGAGCCCAAGAAUUAGUCAUCGCCCCCUAAAUCUGGAUGAUAAUAACUACCUCCAGAGUGUAGUUCCGGCUUUGGCUCCUGCUGUGGCUCCGGCUCUGGUGCAUGAUUCGAAUCUGGAAGAUGUUGCCCAUUCGUGUCGUAUGUGGGGGGACUACCAUCGACCGCCCACCAAACAAAAAUGGUUUCCCUAUCUCACAGUACCACUGUAGGUACUGUAACGAGGGCUGAAGAUCCAAGCCAUGAUCCAUCUGAGGUACCCUCUCAAAUUGGUUGUUCCACAUCAUAACAUAUUCUUCAUGCUCAUCUCCCCAAUCAAGCCCAUGCCUCCCCUUCAUGGUCAUCCCAUGGAUAUCCCCCAAUCGUACUGGUGAACUCGGGAUAUAUUGAAUGCAACCGAACUGCCGAAGUACUCGAUCGCCAUGAUACCACUCCACUAUCUGAAAAUUAAUAACGGGUGCGCUAAUGCACCAUAAGUUUGAGUAGACGCGGGCAGACGAGGGAAUAUUUGCCAUAAUUUCUAGAACAUAAUACGACAUCCAAAUGAACUGCACAGUUAACCACAUUUUUUGUAUUAACGUAGGUCGAGUGAAAUAAAAUAAUAAAAUAAAAUUGAUAUUGAAAAAACUUACCCCCUCUCCAGAAUGAUUCUCGAUCAUCAGGCGGUAUAUCAGAACCGUGUAUGACCUUCCGAUACCCAGAUUUGUGCUCCAUUUAAGAAAAAAAAUUGUUAGAACAACAUAAUUCGAAAAAAAAGUCAACUAAUUGUUACAACGCAUAAAAAUUCAUCACCUAUUAACGAGUGGAAAUAUAUAUGAUUGGUGACUAAUUGAUGCCAAGAAUGGCAUCCGGUAAAGUGUCCACGACUGCAGCAGUAUGAGGCAUCCGCCUAUGUCCAUCGCAGAAGGAUCUGUCGUCCGACAAAGUUCUCGAUACAACAUGGCUAACACUGCGGACCCCCAACUGUAUGAACAUGUGUUAUGCAAAUUAGAUAAUAGGGGUAAGUACAUCAAGUGAACAGUGCUGCCGUUUGAUUCCGUCAUAAGUACACCCCUUAUAAGGUGCAUAAUGUAAGCUCGAACGGCCUGCAUCACCUCGCGUUCAUUAGCAGUACUCGGCAAAUACUCAAAAUUGGCCUUUAGCCAUGACAACCUCAAACUGGCAAAUUUCCCCUCACUUGGCGAGCGUCCAAGUAAUUUAUAGCAAAGGGUUGUCGGCCUGGAGAUCGAACUUACGCCCGUGACCGCAUUCCCGUCGAUGGGGAGCCCGAGCUGUACUGCAACAUCUUCUAGAGUGAUGGUGCACUCCCCGCACGGUAAAUGAAAUGUGUGAGUCUCCGGAUGCCAUCACUCGACUAAAGCGGAAAUCAAGUCAUAUCGCAGAUCAAAAGUCCGGAUCAAUGCUGCUGAUCCGAACUCGGUUAACUCCAAGAACGAUUUAGGCAUUCAUCUGGCUGAAAUCCUAUACUAUUAACACGGCCUCUCAAUACGCGGUACGACUCCUGGCAUUAUUAUAUUAGCGAAAUAAUUAAUACAAUAUAAUUUAAUUCAACAAAUAACAUGACUAUGAAAUAAAAAUUUUAUUACCAUCUCCUUAAUGGUACUUGAUAUGUGAUUUGUAUUAUCAAUCAAAGAACCCAUUUGUUAUAAAUCUGGCAAUUAAAAAAAAUUGAAUUCAGUUUUUCUUAUUCAAACGAUACAAUAAAUUUUUUCAAAUUUUAGAAAUAAACACAGUAAAUAUCUCAUAAUUUCUCAUUUUUUACCUACAAUUUUUUUUAUGUUAGAUAACAAUAAUAAUAUAAUUAAAAACAUAUAAACUAUCUAAAUAUAAAAAACAUACGAAUUAAAAAAAAACUAGAAACAUACCUAAUUAGAAGAACUUCCAAAUAACCUAUAAAAUUAUGUAACAACAAAUUUAAUCAACAUUUUAAUAAAUCAAUAAAAAUUAUCAAAUAAAUAUAUAUAAUAUAAAAGUACAUUAGAUAAAAAUUACAUUAAAAAAAUCACAAAACACUAACAAUUUAUAAUCAUAUACUAACACAAAAUAACUAUAAAAGUAUUUUUUUAAAUACAUUACUAAAAAAAUCACAAUACAUUAAUACACACUAAACCACUAAACACUAACAAUAUAUAACCUAAUCUUAAAUUACUAAUAAAAUAGCUAUAAAAAUAUUUUUUUAAAAUAUAUUACUAAAAAAAAUCACAAUACACUAAUACACUAAACCACUAAACACUAACAAUUUAUAUAACCUAAUCUUAAAUUACUAAUAAAUAGCUAUAAAAAUAUUUUUUUAAAAUAUAUUACUAAAAAAUUACAAUACGCUAAUACUAAACCACUAAACACUAACAAUUUAUAUAACCUAAUCUUAAAUUACUAAUAAAAUAGCUAUAAAAUUAUUUUUUUUAAAAUAUAUUACUAAAAAAAUCACAAUACACUAAUACACUAAACUACUAAACACUAACAAUUUUAUAUAACCAAAUCAACUAUAAAAUUAUUUUUAAAAAAAUAUAUUAUUACUAAAAAAAUUACAAUACACUAAUACACUAAAAUACUAACAAUUUGUAACCUAAUCCAUAAAUUAUUAACAAAACAAAUAACUAUAACAAAAUACAAAAAAAAACUAAUAAUUUAUAACCUAUCAUAAACUACUAACAAAAUAAUUAUACAAUUUUUUUAAAAAAAUUUACAUACUAAAAACUCACAAAACAC